This 55830-nucleotide long non-coding RNA is filed under the name Olea europaea (common olive). RNAcentral describes it as "long non-coding RNA (OEUR_LNC003281)". The record is from RNAcentral. Lineage: Eukaryota; Viridiplantae; Streptophyta; Magnoliopsida; Lamiales; Oleaceae.
GAAGUAUUCCAGGAGCUUUUAUUGAUAUAUUUUAAUUGAAAAAUUGCCACAUGUUUUUUAAUUUUUUUAAAUAAAAAAUUAGUCAAUUGCACAAAUGCCUUGAAAACUAUAAUUGAAAAGCUAUGUAACUGAUACAGAUGCUGCUUCAGAAGCUGAAUGAGCAGCAAGAUACUAGAGGAUAUAAUCUUUCCAGAAUAAAGUUUUUCCCUUGGAGUUGGAGAAAAAAUUUAGCCAAUUUCAGUUCUUUCUGUCUACAAUGAAGUUCCUACGACUUCAAGUUCAUGUUCAUUAUAACUCUCCUUUAACAUACAUCAGAAACUACAUAAUUGUACAUUAUAUCUAGUUUGAGCAAAUUUAUGUUCAAUACAUCUGGGUAAUGAGACAUUUCUGCUCAAUUUAUUUUGGUCUGCUACGAAAUUCAGUAAAACUAGUUCGCAGUCUAUUCAAUAUAUUUACAAUCAUCCCAGAUAUCAAUUAAAUGCAGGUGCAAUUUUUACGCAUGUACAAUUAUGUGGAAUAAUAUUGCCCAUAACAGGCUCUACACAAAAAACUUGUAGCUACUUCAUAUAUUAAAUUGUUUAUGUUCAUAAAUGAUAACAACAUAUAUUUGUAUGGACAAAUAUUUUGUUGAAUAAAAGAAAAUGCUAGUUAAUGAUGUCGAUUAUGAUAAAAAUGUUAUAUACCAUUUAGCAUAAACGUGUUGUGUUAGUUUUUUUUUUUUUUUUUCAUGAACCAGUGUUCCAUCAGCACUCUCUAACCUUUAUUGUUUUGCUGGAAAGGUCUGUGAAAUUUCUACAAUGGAAAGUGGAAAUCAUUUGUGAAUCUGAGCGGAAAAGAUUCCAAGUAGAAGAUGAAGGAAAUGGAGAAACCAAAUUACCACAUGAACAUGAAAAGAAGAUUUAUUCUGGAAGAAGCUUUAAGCAAGAAAAUCAGCAGACUCUCCUUAUAUGUUAUGAAAUCCAAGAAAGAUAAAGGAAAUAGCAAAACCAAGAGCAAUGGACAAUGGACAAUAUGAAAGUGAUGAUCAAAUGAUUUGAUGAUCAUGUAUUUGUCAAAUAAUGUCUGAAAUAUGCAUGUCUGCUAUUUAGGGUUUUCCCUCUGUUUAUUUAUUUAUUUAUUUUUCCAUUUUUGGUGUGGUGCUAUAAUAAAACUUUGCCCUUGCUGCAUUUUAUCGCUUGAUAUAACUUCUAUUUUGCACUCUUUGAUUCUUAAUUGGGAAAACAGAUUAGGAUGUAUGUAAAUGUGUCACGAUCGACUAAGUUAGCCUCUAGCAAUGCAGCAGCACUUAAACCGCAUUUAGUUAAACAAGCAGCACCUAACAUGCAGGGAAAUAAAAACAGACCCAUCUCUACCUCUACCUGGUGAUAGAACAACCCAGCUGCUGCAACCGCCCAAAAAAGAAAAUGGAUAGUUGGUACAAAGCGUGCUUAUCUUUUUCUCUCCUUGCAAGAAUCGUCUCUUUCAUUCCAAAUUUUGCACUCGUAUCUGUCAUCGGUUGGACCAUUUACUUUUAUUUUAUGUAGUUGGGCUUGUAUUCUUAGUGGGCUAGCCCAAAGCCCUUUAAGGUUGUUUUGUUCUAGAUAUAGUUGUAUAUCUGCAUUUGGAAAAGACGAUGAUGAAUAAAAUUGAAAUUGAGGCUUUGGCUUGUAGUUAUCAUUUUCUCACUUCUCCCUCAAUCUCUGCUUCUCCUCUGGCUUCUUUUCCUAUCUUCUUCUUCUUCUACUUCUACUUCUACUUCUUCUUCUCUGUUGCUGUACUCUUCUUCUUCUCUGAUUUCUUGUUCUUAUUUUUAAUCAUUUAAUCCCCCAUUCUCCUUUUAUCUUAAUUUGGUUCCAAGUUCAGCUGGUUUUAGUUGGAUUACUUCAUUGUUUGAGCUAUGCGAGUGGAUGGUUGCAAAUUGAGGUUUAAUUUAUGACAAAAUGGUAUCAGAGCAGCUACAGUGUUUGGGUGUCUUUCCAUUGGAUAUCAUCAGGGAAGAUUUUAAUAGAAUCCAUGAGCAAAUGAUUUCAAUGUUGACUGAAAUUAUUGAAGCUAAAUCAACCUUCAGAGAUAAGUCCAACCAUUACGGUUCUUCUGUAGAAAUGGCCGAGGCUUCGGAUGUGCAAAUGAGCAAUUUGGGUUCUGAAUCAGAAGAGGGCCUAGUGAAGUAGGUUAGUUUAUGUAAUUUGAGCAUAGAUGAUGAUUCAGUUGCUGCAAUUACAAGUGUGUUGUCGAUGGGGAUAGUGAAAUUAUGGUUACUCUUGAUGAAAAAAGUAAACAAUGAAAAAAUUUUGGUGGGUCAGGAGCAAGGUUCUAAAAUGCGUAAUGCGUGGCAAUGCGUUUCGAUCGAGCAUCAAGCAUUAUAAGAAUAUGCGUGCUUAUGCGAAGCAUAUACAUAAUUAUGCAUUUUCCAAUUUUUAACAUUUUAAAUUAAUAAAUAAAUUAAAUAAUGCAUUCUUUGAAUUUUCAUACAUAUUCUUAAAAAAAAAAAACUCAAUUAUAAAUACUACAAUAAGAUAAUAACUUCAAAUUUAUAUAUAUUUUUCAAAAUUUCAACAAAAACAUAUUGCUCAAAAUCAUAAAUAUAGUUAUUUGUUAAUCAAUUUCUACAAUUAAAUUAAACAAGAAUAUUGACUUAAAAAAUUUUAAAUCUUGUCUAACAUUUUAUUGGAUUCCAAUUCAAACUCCUCUUUUUCAUCCAAGUCAUUUUUUGUGUCGUUCGAUACAAAAUCAUCUUCAUCGUCCUCCCUUAUUUCAAAUCAAGAUUUUCUAUUAAAGAGUAAAUGAUAAUACAUUAUUGUCAACUUACUCUUCAUCAUCACAACCAUCAACAAUCCAAGAUAGUGUAUUACUAGCAUCACGUUUCUAAUUUAUCCUUCCUCUUUAUUUUGUUCAUCAACCUUGAAUUAAAUUGGACAUAAACUAGAUUUUCCAUCCUUGUGGCAUCUAUGCGGUUCCUCUUCUUGGUGUGUACCUAUAUAAGGAAGUUGAAAAUUUUUAGUAUGCUAAUUUAAAUUAUCAAACAACUACUAAAGUAAUAAUUAAAAUGCAUCAACGUAAUUAUUUAAUUAGUACUUACUCCUUCAAAGAACUCCAAUAUCUCUAACAAUCGGAUGAACAAGUAGUCAAAUCAAGAACUAUUUUAUGUUAAUGCCCAGAUGAAGAUUUAUGGAAAAGCAAAACCUUAGAGAUUGUUGUAUAUAAUUGAUGGACUAAAGUGAUGUGGGCUAAUAUGAUGUUUAUUGGACUCAAUUUUAUUUUUUGAAGUUACAAAAAUGGGUUGAACUUUGUUAUGCUAAUUCAAACAUAUUUUUUUAAUUACAAAUGCGUGGGCAUUUUGGAGAAUAUGCGCGCAUAUGUGGUCAAUGGAAUGAGUUGACUGCAUUAUCUCGCGCAUACCUCAUAUGCGAUGCGCUUCGAAAAAGCAUCAAGAAUAUGCGUGCAUUUUAGAACACUGGUCAGGAGAAUGGAUUCUAUGUAGGAGAUGUUGUUGUUGAGACCGAUUGACCAAUAAUGCAGGAAUUGAGAUCUAAUGAAUUCCACUUGUUGUAUUUGAAGUAUUGAACAAGAUCACAAAUAACUCAAGAACAAGAUUAAAGUAAGUAAAAGAAGAACUGGCAGAAGAAACGACGCUUUAUGAAUUCACUAUAAAAGGAGAGCACAAUACAGCAAAAGGUUUCAAUAAAACUGACAGAGGAGCCUUGUAUUUAUAGUAUAAAAUCUAACCCUAAAAGAAUCCCAAAAAAGGUAAGAAAUCUAAUGCAAUUUAGACUCCUAUUUGAGUCACACUUCUAACAACCUCCACCUUGACUCAAAUUCCAGUGCAACGAACGAAGUUCCAAAAUUUCUCCACCUUGAGAAAUAAUUCGUCUGCAUUAGAAUGAACUGACCAAUCUCCUCAACGCAAUAACCAAACUCUCCACGAUAACACAUUCCCCCGCCCGGCGUCCACAAGUGACACCCGAAUCCAAACCCGGGUUCCCAAAAUUCCUCUUGGAAUUAACAAUCACUGGACAAGGUCGAAGCACACCCUGUAGCAGAAACCACACCAAAUGCACAAUCAGAAGGUCCCUUGCCAAUAUUGUCACCUUCAAUGAUUUCUAAAGCAUUACAGACACCUCCAAAACUGUACCUACGCUUCAUGAGUCCAUUGGCAUUACAAGAACAUAGUGUACUCGCUAAAAUUGGUGGCAAAGCGGAAUCAUCAACACUCCCUUGAGCAAAGUUCUUAACUAACCCAGAGCUAAACCUGAGAGGUACCGUACCAAAUUGAAUGUCCACCACGGUACUGAACUUGUCCAAAUAUCUCUGAACUGGUUCUGAGCUCCCCUACAAGAUAUACAACUGGGAUUUUCUCCGUCCCUCCAGCACAACCUGGACACCCCUUCGAACCUUCAAGACUCCGCCUCCACCAGAAAAUUUGUACCCUUUUUCAUCCAAUGUACUGAGUGAUAUGAGAUUCUUUGUCAAGUCUGGAACAUGGAGAACCUGAUCAAGUGUCCUCACUGUUCCAUCCUAUAGCCUCAAUCUGACCCGAUCGAUUUCUGUAACCCGACAAGAUUGGUUGUUUCCCAUAACAACUCCACCUUGCUUCACCAUCUCAUAUGUUUGAAACAAAGCCCUAUUGGGACACAUAUGAUACGAACAAGCAGAAUCCACUCCUCAGGUUUGGUCCCCCGUCAGAUACAGCCAACAUCACAUCUCCAUCAUCACAAAAAUUUUCAGCAAUAUUAGUCUCGUUCGAAUUACUUGAUUGCUCCACAUGAUUUGCAUGUAAAUCACAUUUACCUUGCAACUUGUCGCAAUCUUUCUUGAUGUGUCCUUUCCUCUUGUAGUAAUAACAAUACACAUUGCUGUACUUCACCUUCGAUCUACCCCUCCGUCGAUCACCAUGAGUAACAAGAGCAUCUCUACUCCUAGAUGCAGGAUCUCCAACCAACAACUCCAUCUUCUCUUUUGAGAACAGGGCAUCGUAUACCUCUUCAAUGGAUAACGUGUCACGACUAUAUAGAAUAGUAUCACGAAAUGACGAAAAAGAAUUAGGUAGCAAACACAACAGGACCAAGGCUAGAUUCUCUUCAUCAUAUUUUACCUCCAACGUCUCCAAAUCUGCAACAAUCUCCUUGAACACAGCAAGGUGGUCCUGCAGUGACCCUCCUUUCGCCAUCGGAUGAGAAUACAACCUCUGCUUUAGAGUUAGUUUGCUCGUCAAACUCUUUGUCAUGCACAACUGCUCCAGCUUAAGCCACAAAGCAGCCACUGUCUUCUCCUUCAAAACAUCUUGCAGCAAAUUGUUGGAUAAAUGAAGUUGGAUUUGGCUAAAUCCUUCCGAUCCUUCUGUUGUUUCUUCUCCAUAGACAAGCUUGCUAGCAUCCUAUCAAAACCCAACAAAGCAUCAUCAAGAUCCAUCUGCGUCAACACAGCUCUCACUUUACUUGCCACAGCGAAAAUCUUGUAUUGCGAUCCAAUAGCUAAAUUUCAUACUUCAACGAAUUCAUCUCUAAAAAAUCUCAACCAAAUCCGAAAGAACUUGCAACCUGCAACACCCAAAAAAACUGAAAACUACCGAACGUGCAAGGGGCAAAAUAGUCCAGAACCACAAUUUUGCUCAAAUUGAAAUUGGACACCACCACAAGGUCCGUCUCUUCAUCCGGAGAAAACUGCCUAAAGACACCGUCGUCGAAAACCGCCUCACGCGCCGCCACUCGUUCGCCGAAGUUACCACCGUCGGCGACUGGUCGGAAAAUGCGCCGACGACCUGUGAUCCUAUCUGGAUCGUUUCUGCCUGCUGAGUCCACUGGUGGUAUUCGUUUCUCCAAAUUCUUUUUGGUUUGACAAGAAAACACAAAAACAGAUCCGGCAAAAAAUCGAAAAAUUGGACAGAUUCGUUUUCUGAUUUUCUGCUAAUUUUCAGACGAUUUUCCGAUCAAUUUCAGGCCAAAAAUCCACCAACAACCCCGCUCUGAUACCACUUGUUGAGACCGAUUGACCAAUAAUGCAAGAAUUGAGAUCUAAUGAAUUUCACUUGUUGUAUUUGAAGUAUUGAACAAGAUCACAAAUAACCCAAGAACAUGAUUAAAGUAAGUAAAAGAAGAACUAGUAGAAGGAACGAUGUUUUAUUAAUUCACUAUGAAAGGAGAGCACAAUACAGCAAAAGGCUUCAAUAAAACUGACAGAGGAGCCUUGUAUUUAUAAUAUAAAAUCUAACCCUAAAAGAGUCCCAAAAAAGGCAAGAAAUCUAAUGCAAUUUAGACUCCUAUUCGAGUCACACUUCUAACAGUUGUUUGGGGAUAAAGUUAGGAGUCAACCGUUGUGGCCUAGACAUUGGAUGCUUUUGCUAAAGGUGAAGAUGUUGGUGUUGAGCAUAGUGAGAGUGGGAUAUAUAUGCCAAGAAUUAAUAGCAAUGAUAAUAAUGUUAAUACAGUAAGUGGGCAUAAGGGAAAUAUUAGGCUACCUAAGAUGGAUUUUCUACUUUUUGGGGGAAGAAGGACUUAUGGAGUGGCUAAAGAAAGCUAUAAAAUAUUUUCAACUUCAUAAAACUCCCAACAAACUUAGAUUGAGAGUUACUGAUAAGUACUUGGAAGGGAAAGCUUAUAUAUGUUUUAUGGAUUCACUGCAAACCAUCCUAGGAUAGAUUGGAGUUUAUUCUCUAAAGAACUUUGUAGGAGCUUUUUAGAAACUAUUGAGGAAGAAGCGGUUGAAACAUUUAGCAACAUUAAGUAACUAGGACCAAAUGAAGAGAAACGCUAUGAGUUUGAAAGAGAAUCAGGAAGGGAGUUGAGAAUUUUGGAGAAUUGGUCGACUAUCGAAGAAAGGAAGAGUCAAGUUGAGAUAAAAGUUGCUGAACUAAGUGGUGUAUUGCAGCCAAUGUGCAUAGAAUCAUCAUUGCCUUAGGUUGGAAGCAAUGGAAUUAAAUCUUGGCAGUCUUUAAUUCAACAAACGAAAAUUGUAUCCAUUUCAUCUAGGAAGGAAAAUCUGGGCAAUGAAGAACAUAAAUUUUUAACGAGUGACCUUAUAGAAUUGGGAUAGAUACAAGGGAUUAAGAUGACAUUAAAAACUACUAAGGAACAUAGUACGAAAAUUGAGUUGGGGUGUGGUUGCUGCUCAACUUCUAAAGCAGAAAUCUGAGUCCCUUCGGGUUAGGGAUGUAAAGAGUUUGCUCGAAACUCUUAAGGUAAGGAUUUCAGAUUCGAAGACAAACUUUAGCAAAGAAGAAUCAAUGAUUGAGAUUCUUAAUAAAGCCUUAUCUUUUAAGGAAGAAAAUAAGUACAUUUAAGGAUUUUGUUACCAAAACUUAAGUCAGUUAUACCUGGUAGGGUAGAAAAUGAGUGGGUUGAGACCCUUCUUAAUUGUUCUUGAAAUCUAAUGGAUCCAAAUGCUGCAAUCACAAUGCUCGUAGAAUGGUCAAAACAAAGAAAUUCCUCUGUUUUUGAAUUUGAAAUUAAGAAUAUAGGAGAUGAAGUUUUGUCUACUUUGAGUCGACAUUCAUUAGCAGCUCAACACCUAAACCUUCUACCAAUAAUUCUUUUGCCAGUAAUAGAGAAUUCGAAUUUAUUGGAAAAAAAUGUGGGAGCUCAGAACAAGAUGGAUGAAGAAAAAAAUGAGUCGCAUGAGUUCCAUGUGGCAUAAAUCACUUUGCACUACUUGCUUAAUCCAAGGGCAGUGAAGAGAAUGAUGCGGCUAAUUUCAUACAAAGAAGACAUCCCAACUUUAAACCUUGAGGACAAGGUUAAUUUAAGGGGAAGAGAUGUUAUGGAUUGGACCAUUUACUUUUAUUUCUCCCCUUCUCUUUGAAUCUCCGCUUCUCCUCUGGCUUCUUUCCUUUUCUUCUUCUACUUCUUCUCUACUUCUGUACUCUUCUUCUUCUUUGUAUCUCUAUUUUUCUAUGUUUUCUUAUUCUUAUUUUUCAUCAUUUAAUCCUUCCUCAUUCUCCUUUUAUCUUAAUUUGGUUCCAAAUUUAGCUGGUUUCAGCUAGAUUACUUCAAUUUUUGAACUGUGCGAGUGGAUGGUUGUGAAUUGAGGUUUAGUUCGUGACAGUAUCCUUAUUUUAAUCAAUCAAUGCAAAAAUGAUCAUUUCAAUACCAUUUCAUCCAUUUUUUCCAUUAAAUAGGUGUUUGCAUUUCACAUUUCAUAAUUUAGAAGGGUAGUAUUAUUUGUACACUUUAACCCUUAUUAUUUAACAUCAAUAAAAACAAUAUGAAUAAUGGAAAACGAAAAUAAAAUAAGAGAACAAUAUUCUAAAAUAAUAAUCUUCCCAAACGCAACCUUAUCCUUACCUUUUUCUAACCUUGCCUCCAUGGUGACAACUGUAGCAGGAACAUCAAUAUUCCCGCUUAAGCCUGUGCUAACUAGCAAUGCUACAAGAGUCUGAAUCUCCAAAUCAGAAAAAUCAGUGGAACCUGAAAAGUUGAAACCAAAACAAAAGAAAAAAUAUUCUCGCUAAUUUUAGUGUGUUCUUUGAGGAAUCACGACCAUCAUUAAUGCCUUUAGGAUGGGAAUGAGAGGAGGAGAAGAUAGAGGACGAUAAGUCCUGGCGGUGUCCACAGAGGAGGCAUAGUUAUACUAGUGUCACUAUCGAAAUUCACCUUGUGUGCCGGUAGCUUUCAUGAACAAAUUGUACAUAAAUAAGAAUAUAAUAGUUUAAAAGCCACGAAAAAAAAAUCUAGCGUAAAAGUAAUUGGCACAAAACAUAUUUAUCUUUUUCCCUCGCAUACUAUCAUUCCAAAUUUUGCAUUUUUUAUCCUCAUUUUGAUCAAUCAAUACGAAAAUGAUCUCUUCGGUACGGCUUCAUCCAUUUUUUUCAUUAAAUAGGUGCCUGCAUUUCACAUUUCAUAAUUUAGAAGGAUAAAAUUAGUAGUACACUUGACCCUUAUUAUUUAACUUAGAAAAACAAUAUAAAUAAUGGAAAAAAAAAGAGAACAAUAUUCCAUAGUAUCCAUCUCUCCAAAUCCAACCCAGCCCACCCCUUCUAACCAUGCCACCACCACCACCAUCAAUGGUGACAGCAAUGGCACCAGCACUAGUAUUCCACAUUAUGCCUGCAACACUAGCGAUGCCAUAUGGGUUUGAAUUUGCAAAUCAGAAUUAGAAGCAGUGUAACCCAAAAAUUUGAAACAAAAGAUAUUAUACUAAUUUUAGUAGAUUCCUUGAGGAACCAUGGCUGUUGACUUUAACAAUAAUGUCUUUGGAUGCGAACAAGAGGAGGAGGAGGUAAAGGAUGGUAAGUCUAGUGGUGUCCUUGGGAGGAGGCAUAGUUAUUACUAAUGUUACUAUUAUCUAAAGUGAUGGGCUUUUGGUGAACAAGGAGAUUUUGAAAUUUUUCUUUUUCUUGGGUGCUGAUUGGGGUGAAUUAAUGAUUUUCUAAGUUUUUCAAUACGAAAAAUGUUGGCGAUCCAAUGUAUAUAAGCUAUAUAGAAUUCAAAAAAAGAAAUAUUUUGAACGUGGGACUUGUUAUGUAUUUUGAUCAGGAGAUAUUGAUAAGUUGUCAUACUUGAAGAUUAAACAAACCCUAGAAAUGCCUACAUCAGGAUGCUAGUCGUGGUUUUGGCAUGGAGGAGGUAGAGAGGCAUGGUUGAAAGGGGUCUCAAAAGAGAAUGGGUUGGGUUUGGCCCAUUUGGGAUAGAAUGUUGUUUUCCAUAUUACUUUUGAUUUUUCAUUAUUUAUGAUGUGAUCCAAGGGGGGAAAAAUAUUGAGAACUUGUUGAUUGGGGGACAAGAGAUCGAGACCAAGUUUCAAGCUUAAUUCGAGCCCACAAGACCAAGCAAAUACUUGUUCGAGCUAUGGAGUUGAUAGGGAUGAGUAUAACAAGACAAAUAACAACUUACUUGUUGGUCAUGAAGACAAAAUCGUAUUUGGUGCAUUGAAUUCAAGUUUUGGAAGAUAUAUGGAAAAACAAGUAGCGUAGAUUAAAAUAAGUAUAACUUUUAGCUCAAGUGUUGGAUUUUCGCUCAUGAGUACAAUUCGAAAUCGUCAUGAAAUUUAACACAAGAAAAAAGAGGAUCCAAAAAUAAAGUUAUGCGAUGGCAUAGCAUAAGUCCAUGCGACCGAAUACUUUGUUACAAAACCAAAAUUGAAAUUUGAAGAAUGAACUAUGCAACCACAUGACGUAUAUACUAUGCGACCGCAUAGUCCGAGUCUGAGGCAAUUUUUUCCUUUUUUUGCGAAACUUUCCUAAUUACAUCAAAACUGUAUUUUUAUGAUAUUUUUGACUUGAUUUUUAGGUUUUCCUAUAAAUGGUUCAUUACUCUCAUUGUAAAGAAGAUUUUUGACAUGAUUAAUUGAGAGAUUUCUUGAAAGCCAACUUGCUUCCAAUUCUUUUGUUCUUGAUUCAACAAAUAAUCAAACUUAUCAAGAUUAUUAUCUUGUGGCAUUCAAAACUAUUGAGUGAGAUUCUGAAAUCUUUAAAUCAAGAGGUCGACAUAUCAAUUGAUUGUUGGUUGCUUGAUUCAGUAUUUCUUGGUUAAAUCCAAAACCUUAGUUUAGUUGGCUUUUUUGGGUUUGGUUCAAUCUCUUUGUGGAUUUCGUAACAAUUGUUGCUAUGCAGGUUCACAUUAGUUGGUAUCAGAGUUUGGACUCCAAAAUCAGGGUUAUAUCAUUUUUCGUUUUGUUGAGUCCUUUUAUUUUUUUCGUUUUCCGCAUUCUUUGUGUUCUUUAUUAUUUUUGAAUCUUUGACCACCAAUUUUUCGUCAAAUUUUUUAAAGUUGUGUUUGGGCUAAUUUAACAUCCAAAACGGCUUCCGUUUGUUUUGUUGGUGUCGUAGUCGAGUUCUCUAUAAAUACAAUAAUAAAAAAAAGUUGAAAAAAAAUUCCGAAAUCAAAAAAAAAAGGAGGGAGAAAAAUCUAUUAUUGAUUUGAUUUAUUGGGGAAAUUACUAGCAUACUAUAAUUUUUCAAAAUUUUAUCCAAAAAUUCUUUUAGUUCUUUUAAGGUCACAAUUCUCACUCACAUCCGCUUUGAAUUCUACGAGAAUAAUUUAUGGUUGAGUUCAAAAUUGUAAGCACUUGAGGAUGUAUGAAAAGGGCAGAAUGGUGAGAUCGAUAGAGGGUAAAAACCAAAAUUUGAAUCACACACAAGAGAAAAAUAUACUUGAGGAAGAAAUUAUUUUAGAUUUAGGAUGUAUGACAGGGUAGAUUCAAUCUCAAGCAGGAACCAAGAUCAAAUCAAUAGGUCAUCAGAGGUGAUACAGCGAUUUGAAAGAAUGUUUAGGUAUAUUAGAGACAAACAUAGAUAGGUAUGAUACAACAGUUGCUAACUUUCAAAUGAGGGAGCGUGUAGAAACAUCUAAUGCAUGGAGGCAAGGUAGGAGGGAGCCUAGGGUGGAUUUUCAUGGUGUAUAUGACGAUGGUAGUAACAUGGAUGAGGCUGUAUUUGCUGAGGCUGAAAUACGGAGAAUGAGGGGUAGAGGAGUUGAUAGCAAUCUUGUAGGAGAUGGUGUUGAUAGGAGAGAUAGGCAUGAAAGAGAGUUUAGAGAGAAUCCUAGGAAAUGCUAUGGAGUUGGGAACCCGGUCAUGGAGGAAACACUUGUUUGUGAUACGUGCUAUCCAUACACCAAUCAAAGUGGAUGAUGUAGAGCAAUCCUAGGAUAAAAUCUUUCAAACUAGAUGUCAUGUCAAUAGCAAGUUAUGUGGUUUGAUUAUUGAUGGAAGUGGUUGUCUUAAUAUCGUUAGUACUAUACUUGUUGAGAAGUUAGGAUUGAUUACAACCAAACACCUAAACCUUAUAAAUUACAAUGGUAAGAUGAAUGUGGAGAGGUUAGGGUAUAUAUGCAAGUGUUGUUAAGUUUCUCAUUUGGGAGGUAACAUGAUGAAGGGUUGUGUGAUGUAGUUCUUAUAUAUCCUUAUCAUAUUUUGUUGGAAAUGCCAUGGCAGUAUGAUAGGAAGGCAAAACAUGAUAAAUUCAAAAAUAGGUACAACUUUACUAAGGAUGGAAAACCUACCACUCUUUUGUCGUUGAUAUCACAACAAGUGUAUGAAGAUCAACCCAAAGUAAAAAGUGAGAAAGAGAAAAGAGCGAGAUAAAUCUUCCGCAAUAAGAGAGCAAGAGAGAAAACUCUAAGAUGGCUAAUUGUAAUAAAAGGAAGAAGAGCCACAAGAGAGUGAAAAUGAAAUAGAAAGUGAAUAAGUGGCUAAAAGAAAAAUGGAGCCACAACUGGGAAAAGAAAGAGAGUAUUCAGAGAGAAAAGGAAAAGUUAGAAGUAAGCUUACAUGAAAAGGAGAGUGAGUUGGAGAGGGCUUUAGUGAGAACUAAUAAUUCCCUCUCUUGUUUGGCUAUUUCUAUCUUAUAUGGUUUUGAAGACUUGUUACAUGAGAACAAGCCUAUUGAGAUACCAUACAAUUUAGGUAUUGAGCAUCAACUUGUGGAUGAAGCUAACCAAUCCUAUCCUUGUUUGGUUAUCUCAGUAUUACCGGAGGUAAACUUUGUGAUCCCUAAGGAGACAAAAGAGUUUAAAAGGCAAUGAAAAAAAUUUAGAUGCAGGGGGUUGAAUGACAAAGAUGAUAUGAGGGGCAACAUAAAUUCAUGUGCAGUGUCAUUGCUACGAGUACCUUGGUAAAUAGGACAAAGCGGAUACAUGAUGACUUACCAAAGGAGAUUGUUCUUGAAGCAUCUUGAAAUUGCAAAAAGAAGGCGUCGAGAUGUGUACUAUUUGAUCCAUGCGAUGGUGAUUCCGUUCACAUACGAUAAAGGAGGACACGAACUGAAAGGAAGUCCAAACUACACCUUAGAGAAGAUGGACCAUUCCAUGUUCUUGCCAUAAUUGGUAGCAAGGGCUAUAACUUGGGUCUGGAUUUGAUAUCGAAUCCUUUUAAAUAGAGAUGUCAUGAUGUGAUCUGUUCACGAAAUAAUUAUUUCGAUCUCGCAAGUGUACGGGUCGUAACAAGUAAUAAAGUGGAUUUUUAACAGUUCGAAUAUCGUCUCUCAGAGAUUGAGUAGUUCAAUUCUAUAUAAUCUAGCCUUAACCGAAUCUAAUUGAGUGAAAAUAUGGUCCAAAUGCAAAAAGCCCUAAUUUCAAUUAAAAACCCUAAUUUCUAUUGAAAACCCUAAUUUCUCAAUUAGAAACCCUAAUUUCGAAAUUUUCCUAAUUAAAUGACUCAAACACUCAAGUAAGUGAAAUUAUGUAAAUUCAAAAGCUAAUUUAUGGAAAUUAAUCAAACUAAAGUCACUAGGAUCACGAAUCCCCAAUUGAAGUUAUAAAAACCCUAAUUUCUUAAAAUUAAUGAUUCGAUGAAAAUUUGCCAAUUCAAUGUUUCUAAUUCUAUCCAAUAUACUCUCUUGAUAUAUAUUGGACCUAUUCUUGCACACCACCAGCCUAUAUCUCUAUGGAUGAUGCAAACAUACAAGAAUGCAUGUAGUUUUGUGAACAAUUUAAGAAUUGCAUAAAGCAUAGGGGUAUAUCUCUAUCCCCUAUCAGACCCUAUGUUAAUUUACACCUUAUCGAACCUAUUCCACUUCUCUCGAAUGUAAGAAAUAAGUCAUCAACACUUACAAAAUCAUUGGCCACUAAUUGCGGAAGAAAAUUAAUGCAUGUAAAUAAAUCAAAUUAUCUAAACGAGUCUUUAUAUUAAAUUCAUGAAAUAUAGAAUUAAAAUAACAAACAAUGGUUCAUCGAUCACCUAGUAAUUGAAAACCUAGCCUAGAAGAUUCAUAAUUACAGAAAAAAAAAUGAGAUUAAUAAAUAGAAAGAAUAACACCCGUAUGAAAGUUCUUGAAAUCUGAAAUCUUGAAUAAAACCUGGAAAACCAACUUGAAUCCUUGUGAAAUCGGCUUCAAGUACGUGUUAAUUGCCUCCAAAAGUUGUAUUAUUCUUCUCCCUGGACGUUCUGCCCUAUUUCUGAUGAAUUUUGGCCUUUAUAUCAUGUCCUCACGGAGCCCCGAAAGAGUUUCAAUUAAGAACAGAAGUUUAGAUUUUUUUUUCGAUCCUAAAGCCAUGCGGCCGCAUGGUGUUAAACCAUGCGACCACAUGGUUCAAUUUUUCAACUCAAUUAAAACCCUACUAGACCAUGUGCGGCUACAUGGUAUAGUUACAUGCGGCCGCAAGGUUGUAACUUUACAACCUUGCCAUUUUGGUCCCUGAACUCCGUUUUCUCUUUUCUUGAUCUCUUUUCUUUCUUUCCUUUGUUCCAUUAUCAAAUAUUGACUCCUAAUUGAUGUUUGGGUCAAUCAAUUCCUUGAUCAUUUGCUCGGCUCAUCUUUUGAUUAAUUGCAAUUUAGUCCUUCAUCUUUCACUUUUCUUCAAUUCAGUCCAAGGUUACUUUUUUCUUCCUCCGAUCGUCUUGUAUCGUCCUCAAUCUCAUGCUUGGUAUAUUUUCAUUCUAGUUCUGCACUUAGCUCAACUUUUCAAUAUUUACACCUUUGGUCCCCGCACUAUCGCUUUGUUCCAUUUUGGUCCUUUUUCGGCUCUUUUCUUCUGAAUUUCAUCUUUUCCAUAGAAACACCUACAUUGCAUGAAUUUAACAAGAUUAAAUCACAAUUCAACUACUUUGUCCAUAUUUAAGUCAUGUUUGUGAGCUAAAUAAGUGUGUAAAAACACACUUAUCAUGAUCCAAGGGAGGGCAAAAAUUAUCGAAAACAUGUUGAUUGGGAGACGAGAGAUCGAGACCGAGAUUCAAGCUUAAUUCGAGCCCACAAGACUGCGCAAAUACUUGUUUGAGCUAUGGAGUCGAUAGGGAUGAGUAUAACAACCCAAAUAACAACUUACAUGUUGGUCAUGAAGGCAAAAUCAUGUUUGUGCAUUGAGUUCAAGUUUUGGAAGAUAUUUAGAAAAACAAGUAGUGUGGAUUAAAGUGGGCAUAACUUUUACAUUUUUGCGGACUUCACCCUAAUCUUUAAUUUGUGCCAAUAAAGGUCUCUAACCUUUCAGAAAUAUGCAAUUGAGGUCCAAAUGGAUGGAUUUGACCGUUAAUUGGCCAUAAGUCAAAGGGUUAACUGAAUUUUGACCAAUUUUAAAAGGUUAAAAUAGCAAAUUUAUAUUUUAGAUUGGGUUAACUUUCUUUUUAUUUUAGUUAUGGACUCAUUCGAAGUAAUUGGAAAAGAAAGGAAUUUUGGGUAUCAAAAUCUCACUUAAAAAUUGAAGGACUAAAUUGCAUUAAUUUGAAAGAUUGAAUGGCAUGGAGAAACACAAAGUUAAUGGGCCAUCUUCCAAUUGGAAUUGGAAUAGGAAUGGGAAGUUGACUUUAUAUUAAAGAGAACUAAUGAAAAUCAAAUUGGGUCUCAAUUGUACUUGCAUUUGGAAUCUAAUUCAAUAAUUACUUGACUUCAUGAUAGUUGGAAGCAAUUGGAAUCCUAUUAACAGGUGGGCUAAAUUGGAUAUAUAUACACACACGCAUGCAAAGAAAACGACGAGGGCUGAAUUGAUUUUAGGACUACACUGUAUGUCUAGAAAGAGGGCUUCAGAAGCCCUCCAGAAUACAUACAAACAAGUGGGGCCCAAUUUUUUUUGGCAACAUUUAAUUUACUUGUGUCCCACCUUUCAUGUGAGUAAUUGUAUGAUUCUGUACAAAUACUUUUUGUACAAAUGGUUUUUUCCUUGAUUUUAUAUACACACAUAAAAAGGCGGCUAGGUGAAAUAUAUAUAUAUAUAUAUACACACACACACACACACAAAAACAAGGGGAAAAGAAAGGCGGCUGCUGUUGAAAAAAAGAAAAGGUAGAAUAUACACGCAGAAGACAUACAAGACGGAAUGACAAGAGUAGCAACUUGGAAAAUAAAUCACGUUCCGUUGAUUUUUCGUACAUCUUUUCAAUUUUAUUUGUUCAAUUCCAAUAUUAUGCUAUGCUAAAUUAUUUUAUACUAGAAUUUUCGAUGAACCUUAUAUUAUGAGUCUUUAACUCUUGAAUUUUAUUUAUUUUGACAUUUAAAGUACGAUCAAAUUACAAAUAUGGUGUGUAUACCCCCACCCCACCCUCGCCAACUUUCACACACAAAUGCACGCACCACGAUACACACACACACACAAAAAUUACUUAUCCUAUUUCUAUAUUUAUUGGUCAUCUAGAUUAUUAGCUCUUUCUCUGGUUAUUGAAUUCUUCCUAAUCUAGGUAAUUCCGCUAUAUUCAUUUGGGUUCCCUGUAUGAGAAAUUAAGGAAAGCAUUUAUUGAAGGUGAUUUGAUCUUUGGCUCAUUUUAAUAAGUGUAUUCAAUUGAGAUUCUUGAAGAUUUUGAUGCACUUUUUUAAGUGGUGAUUUUGUGGAUUUCGUAGUUAUUUCAUAGAUUUAUUUAGAAUUAGUGGAAGUAUUUUGUAAACUUCUAUAAAUUUUCAUUUUAAAACGUUUUAUAGACUUUUGUAGAAUUCAAAAUAUUUUAUAAAGACUUUCAUUUGAUGUCAAAUCCCCGUUGAUCCAGUACAAUAAUGUGAAAUUCUCACAUACAAUGUGGUAGUUUCCACAAUUUUCUUUCCUCUUCACCUUCUUAUAUAAUAAAAAAAUUAUUUAAAAAUAAUAAAAAUUAAGAUCUUAAUUAAAUAAAUAAUAAUCAAAAUUAUAUAUACAUAUAUACAUACAUAUGUAUAUAUACAUAUUCAUAGAAGGACAAAAGGAAAAAAAGAUUGGAAAAAAAAAAUUUUCUUGUGAAAGUCUCUCAAAACUCAUGAUUAAUGAAAGAUAAAUUUUGAGAUUCUAUGAAUACUUUCUACUUAAAAGUUAAGACUCUAGAGAUUUUUAUAAAGGUCUCUGGAAGUCAUUAAAAUUCGAAUACCUUAAGAUUUAUAGAGACUUUUAAAAUAUUUUAAUUGAAUAUAUUGUAACUUUUAGAGACUUUUUAAAAGUUUAUAAAAGUCUUAAUUGAAUACAUCUAUACUUUUAGAGGGUCUCAAAAAGUUGAGAUUGAAUAUCCUAAACUUUUUAAAUUCCCAAAAGUCAUAAAAGUCUCAAUUGAAUACACUCCUUAAAUGGAAGGCCUUUGAUGAAUACCUCAACAAAUAAUUAAGGAGAAUAAUUAAUAUUUAUUUGUUAAUUUCCUAUAACUCUUUGAGAACCGUCUAGACUUGGUAAUACCUUCUAAUUGUAGAACUAUAAUUAUAGUGUUAAUUGUACUGCUAUGUUUUACAUGAUCUUAAGUAUCCAUAAACUCCAUUGCAUUUUUAUAUAUUCAUAUCCGUCACAAAAAUAUAUAGUCGGUUCACAAGUAAGAAUAUGUUUAAUUUUACUGGAGAGAGACUGCUAAACAAAUUAGAAAUAUUGAUCUUAAUAAUUGAAUCGUGUUGUCAAAUUUAUAAAUUUCGGAUUAAAGGGGAUUGGUAUAAAUGGAGUCGAGAUCCUAGUGCGGGUUCCGUCAUUAUAUUUUUAUGAAACUUUUAUUUAACUGUAACUUUAGUAAACUUCUAUAGAAUUAGUGGAAGUAUUUUGUAAACUUCUAUAUAGACUUUAAUUUUAAAACGUUUAUAGAAUUUUGUAGAAUUCAAGAGAGACUUUUUAAAGAUUUUCACUUGAUGUAGAAUUCAUGUUGAUCCAAUACAAUAAUGUGAAAUUCUCAGGUACGAUGUGGUAGUCUCAACAAUUUUUCUUCCUCUUCACCUUCUUAUAUAAUAAAAAAUUAUUUUAAAAAGAAUAAAAUUGAAGACUUUAAUUAAAUAAAUAAUAAAAAAAUAUGCAUACAAAUGAUAAACAAUAAAUUUAAUAUUCAAUAUUAUUAAUGUAAUAUACUUUUAAAAAUAAAUAAAAAUCAAUAUAUUUAAAUUUAAUUAUAAAAUUUUCAUAAAAAAAUUUAUAAUUUAAUAAAAAUAUAGAUAUUUUCACAAAAUAUUGAAUGAAAAAAUGGAAAAAAGUUACAAGAUAGCAAUAUAAUUUUUUUUUCAUAGAAAAUAGAGAUAAACAAUAAGAAAUAGAGAAAGGUAUAAUGGAAAUAAAUAUAAUCAAUAGAAAAAAAAAUUAAUCAUACCUUAAUGUUUGUAGAAGGACAAAGGUGAAAUUCUUCCAAAAUCUCAUGAUUAAUGAGAGACAAAUUUUGAUAUUUUAUAAGUAUUAUCUGGUUAAAAGUUAAUACUCUGGAGGCUUUUAUAAAAAUUUCUAGAAGUCAUUAAAAUUUGAAUGUCUCAAAACUUAUAGAGACUUCUAAAAAGUUUCAAUUAAAUACACCAUAACUUUUAAAGACUUUUUAAAAGUUUAUAAAAGUUUCGAUUGAAUACAAUGUGCCUUUUAGAAACUUCUUAAAAGCCUAUAAAAGUUUCAAUUGAAUACAUCAAUACUUUUAAAGUGUCACAAAAAAUCUACAUUGAAUAUCCCUAAAUUUUUUAAAUUUCAAAAAGUCAUUAAAAGUCUCAAUUGAAUACACUCUCUAAAUGAUAGGCUUUUAAUGUAUACCUCAAUAGAUAAUUAAAGAGAAUAAUUACUAUUUCUUCAUUAAUUUCCCUCUUUGUCCAUUUUAUAACUCUUUGAGAGCCUUCUAGAUUUGGUAACUUGUUCUAAUUGUAGAACUAUAAUUGUAGGGUUAAUUGUCCUGCUUUCUUUACGUGAUGUUAAGUAUUCAUAAAUCUUUAAUGCAUUUUCAUAAAUUCAUAUCCAUCAUAGAAAUAUAUAGUUGGGUCACAUGUAAUAAUAUGUUUAAUUCUACUGGAGGAAGAUUGUUAAACAAAUUAGAAAUAUUGAUAUUUAGAAUUGAGUCGUGUUGUCAAAUUUAUAAAUUUCGGGUUAAAGGGGAUUGAUAUAAAAAGAGUUGGGAUCCUAGUGUUGGUUUCAUCAUCAUAUUUUUAUAAAACUUGCAUUUAAUUAUAACUUUGUAUUGAUUUUAAUUAAUCUAGGUUUUGCAUUUAUCAAUAGAUUGUUAGAUCAUGAUUUAGUUAGAGAAAAAUCACCAAUUUUUAUAGUUUUGGUUAAGGCUAAUUUAACUUGAAGUUGAACUUAAACUUGUACAAUCUCUGUGACAACGAUUUUUGACUUAAAAAAUCCAUUUUGCUACUUAUUAACGAAUCAUACACUUGUGGUAUUUUGGUCGAACAAUAUUUCAUCAACAUAAAUCAUAAACACAAUUUUUUUUCUAAUGAAAUUCUUGUUAUGUUCAAUAGAUUAGAUUUGUGUCCUUGCUCUAUUCGGUUUUCCUUCUUUUCUAUGAGAUGAUGUUUUUAUCUACUUAUCUUUACAUGACAAACAGAGACGAAUAAUUAUUUGAAGUAACUAUAAACAACUUUUCCAUACAAUAUUAUUUUUGGGUCCAUAUAGGGAUCCGAAUCAGAACCUAAUGUAUAAGUUGUCUAAUAAGAUUUAUUUUACUAAAGUUUACGGGAUGGGGUUAGGUUAAACAUCUUUUUUUUUCGCACUUUGUGACCUCAUAACUUAUCUAAUAUUUAUCCAUGCAUCAGAAUUUACACCUUAUAAUCGAAAAAGGAAAAAGUAUGCAAGGGAAAGCUUAUUAAUUUACAAUUGUAGGAAUGAACUCUAAGUUAGUAUAUGAAGGUCCAAAAUAUUAUCUGAUUUAUCAAUUACAAAAUAAGUAUACAGAUGAGGGAAAGCUUGAUGCAAAUUGUGCUAUGCGACAAAUGUCCGAUAUAGCUCAUAAAUAAAGAGCUAUAUGCGAUGCAAGAAAGCUCCUUGCUACCUCUAAUCUCAUUAGAUCAACUUAUACGAUAAGAAUAAAAUAUAAAAUUUCAAUUACUAUUAGAAGGUGCCUUUCAUUAUUGGAGUACAAUACAUCAUUACCUAUAUCUCAAGACCUAUUAACAUCUAAUGAAGAUAAGCGAAAGAAACGCAUAUACAUAAUAAUACUCUUUAAAUUUAAUUUUUUGCUUGCAAUGAAGAUAAGUGAAAGAAACACAUCCACAUACUGCAGUAACAAGUGUGGCCAAAAGGGGCUCAGCCCAUACUGCUGUCGAUCGCGAUUUUCCCAAAACUCUAUUCGCCACAGUUUGCACAGUUGAACUUCGUUAAACUCCUUUUUGCUAUUUUUAAAUUUUUCUAAGUAUUUUUUCAUCCGUUUGGACUCUUUUUUUGAAGCAUAGCUCUUAAAAUUCUUUGACCACUAUAAAUAGAAAAGUUUUUUUUUUUUUUUUUGGUCAUAAGAAGGGGUUUGUACCAUUAGAAACAAAAUGGAGAGAAAAAUCAAAGCAAAAAUCAAGAGAACUAGGGUAUGAUUUGGCAUAGGAGAAAGAGAUUUUUGCUACAAAAUCAUCAAACUUUUCCUUGUUUUUCCUUCAAACUCGAUUAUAUUUCUUGUAUUUAUAUUCUUCCAUGAUGUACAGUCAUUCCUUUAAUUGUUCAGUUUUUUACUUUCAUCUUAUCCCUUCUCAUUCACAUCUUCUUGCAUUCUCAAAGUUUUCUUUGAAAAAGAGAAGGUAUAAAAAAAGAGAUCAAUCACAAAAUAAUAAUAAUAAUAAUAAUAAUAAUAAUAAUAAUAAUAAUAAUAAUAAUAAUAAUAAUAAUAAUAAAGCGAAAGUUAAAAAUGAGCCUUACCUACUUUAACUAUUUAUCUCCUUUUUCCUUUUCAAGGUUUGAGUUAUCUGUUUUCAUGCUCUCUGUUUUUUUAUUUUAUUUUAUUUUAUUUUUUUAAUUUCUUUGGUAUUGAUGGAGAGAAGAUCUUAUGGAAAAUGUUAAUAACCAGUUAGAAAGUGAGAUCUUUUGGACUUCAUGACUCGAGUAACUUGAUGUACGAGACAUAUUACAAUUUUUAAUACACAAAAUAAAUGCAAUUUUGACAGAGCUAUAGAAUAUAUAAAAUGAAAUUUUUUCUUUAUUUAAUUUGGUACGAUAUGUCAUUUAUGGCUCUCUCUCUCUCUCUCUCUCUCUCUCUCUCCAUCAAAUUCAAAUUUCAAAUCGCCUUUGUACUUUUUUCAAGAGACUACAUUGAGUUUAAAAUUUCAAAAGUAAAUAAAAAGUUCAGAAUUUAAUUUUACAUUCAUAAUUAGUAACCCAAAUCCCACUAACUCGAUGAUAUACUCUAAUUUUUACGCGUACUUUUAUUCUUGCAUGAUGUAUACUCUUUUACUUUCAUUUUAUUCCGUCUUAUUCUUAUCGUCUUGCUUUCUUAACCUUUUCUUUGACAAAGAAAAAGAAUAAAGAAAAGAAACCAAUAACAAAUAAAAAUAAAAAUAAAAGUAAAUGAUAAAAUAUUUAAAACAAAAGCUAUAAAUGAGCCUUGCAUACCUUAACUGUUUUUCUCCCUUUUCCUUUACGAGGUUUGAGUUAUCUAUUUUCCUGCUCGUUUUAUUUUUUAUUUUUUGGUUUUGUGUGAGAGAAAGUGUGAUCUUUUGGAAGUCUGGACUCAAAUGGCUUGAUGGACGAGAAAUAUUAAAAUUUUUAAUAUACAUAACAAUUGAAAUUUUGAGAGAGCUAUGGAAUAUCAAUUUUUUUCUUUAUUUAGUUUGGAAUGAUAGGUCAUAUCUAGAUUUCUCUCCAUCAAAUUCAAAUUAAAAAUCCCCUUCGUAUAUUUGUCAAGAAAAUGCAUUGAGUUUUUAAAGUUCAAAAGAAAAAAAGAUUCUAGAACUUAAUUUUACAUGAAUAAUUAGGAACCCAAAUUCCACAAACUCGAUGAUGUACUCAAUGAUAUACUCUAAUUGUUUCUUAUAUUUUUAUUCUUUCAUGAUCUAAAAUCUUUUCUAUAAUUGCUGUCUUUUUUUUUUCAUUUCAUUCCCUCUUAUUCCUAUCUUCUAGCCUUCUGACCCUUUUCUUUGAAAAACAAAAAGAAUGACAAAAAAAGACCAACUACAAAAACCAAAAAAAGGAAAAAAAAAAAUCAGAGCAAAAGUUACAAAUUACCUUGCGUACUUUUAUCGUUUUUUCCCUCUUUCUUUUCGUGGUUUGAGUUAUCUAUUUUUUUGCUCAUUUUCCUUUUAUUUCUUUGGUUGAGCGAGAGAAGACCUUAUGGAAGUUGGAACAUAUAUUACAAAUGUUACAAUUAGGAAGUAUGAUAAAUGCAUUGUGUUUAAAAAUUCAAAAGAAAAUUAAAAAAAAAUCCUGAAUCUAAUUUUGCAUUAAUAAUUAGGAACCCAAAUCCCACAAGCUCAAUGAUAUCCUCUAAUUUUCUUGUAUUUUUAUUCUUCCAUGUUGUAGAAUCUUUCCUUUAAUUCGUUCUAUCUUUUACUCUCAUUUAUUCCCUUCUUAUUCCUAUCUUCUUGCAUUCUUGAACCCCUUUUUUUUUUUAUGAAAAAGAGGAGGUAUAAAAAGAAAAGGUGACCAAUCACAAAAUAGAAAUAAGAAAAUAUAAUAAUCCGAAGCAAAAGUUACCAAUGAGCCUUGCAUACAUUAACUGUUUCUCUCCCUUUUCCUUUUCACGGCUUCAAUUAUCCAUUUUCCUGCUCGUUUUUCUUUUUAAUUUCUUUGGUUUUGAGCAAGAGAAGAUCUUAUGGAGAACAUAUUAAAAAUGUUAAUAACCAGUUAGAAAGUGUGAUAUUUUGGAAGUCUUGACUUGAGCGGCUUGAUGGACAACACCUAUUACAAUUUUUAAUGCACAUAACAAAUGAAAUUUUGAUAGCGUAAUAGAAUAUCUGAAAUGAAUUUUUGUCUUUAUUUAAUUUGGUAUGAUAUGUCAUAUGACUGUCUCUCUCAUCAUAUUCAAAUAUAAAAUUCCCUUCGUUCAUUUGUCAAGAAAGUGCAAUGAGUUUAAAAAUUAAAAAAAAAAUACAGAAUUUACUUUUAUAUUAAUAAUUAGGGACUCAAAUCCCACGAGCUCAGUGAUAUACUCUAAUCUUUCUCUUGUAUUAUUCUUUUUCCUGGUACAUUAUCUUAAAUUUUUUUUUAAUUGCUAUGUUUUUCACUUUCAUUUCAAUCCUUUUUAUUAUUCUCUUCUCGCCUUCUUAACCUUGUCUUUGAAACAAAAAAGAAUAAAAAAGUGACCAAUAAAAAAAUAAAAUAAAUAGAAAUUGAAAGCAAAAGUUACAAAUGAGACUUACAUAAUUUAACCCUUUUUAUCCCUUUUCCUUUUCGAGCUUUGAGAUACCUAUUUUUUUUGCUCAUUUUCAUUUUAAUUUCUUUGAUUUUGAGUGAGAGAAGAAGAUCUUGUUGAAGUGAAACAUAUUAUUAAUGUCACAAAAUAGUUAGAAGGUGUGAUCUUUUGGAAGUCUUGACUCAAGUCACCUGAUGGAUAAAACAUUACAGUUUUUAAUACACAUAACAAAUUAGAUUUCGAGAGAGAUUUAGAAUAUCUAAUAUGGAAUUUUUUUAUUUAAUUUGGUACGAUAUGUCAUAUCUUGUUGCCUCUCCAUCAAAUUCAACUAUUUUCGGAGAAGGAGAGAUUAUAUGCUUGUCGAUUCAAGACAUGAUCUGAAUCCUAUAGGAUAUACUGAUUCCGAUUUUCAAUCCGAUCUUGACUCUAAGAAGUCUACAUCGGGAUCAGUAUUUACACUGGGAGGUGGAGCUGUGGUAUGGAGGAGUAUCAAGCAACCUAGUAUUGCUGAUUCCACCAUGGAGGCAGAAUAUGUAGCGAUUUGUGAAGCUGCUAAAGAAGUUGUAUGAUUCAAGAAGUUUCUUUUGAACCUAGACGUGAUACAUUUGGCAAUGGGGUCCAUAACACUUUAUUGCGAGAAUAGUGGGGCGGUUGCCAAUGCUAAAGAACACAGGAGUCAUCAGCGUGGCAAGCACAUUGAGAGAAAAUAUCACCUUGUUAGAAAGAUUGUUCAUCGAGGAGACGUAACGGUUAGUAAGAUUGUAUCAGCAGAUAAUCUUGCGGAUCCGUUCACUAAGACCUUACUAGCUAAGAGUUUUGAUAGAAAUCUUAAGGGGAUGAGUAUUCUUGAUAUGUCACACAUACUCUAAGAAGAGCAAGUAGGAGAUUGUUAGCUUGAUGCCCAUUCUUCGAGUAGUGUUCUGUAAAAUCAUAUUAUGAAUUGAAGUUUGUCUAUUUACGUGUUAUAAUUUGAAGUGAUUAUCUAAGAUUCCAUGAUCAUAUAGGAUGUCACAAAUUUUAUACUCGAUGGAUCGGGUAGAGUAAGACACAAUUUGUGAUGUGAUCAAAAUUAUGUCGUUCACAAUUGGUACAUAAAGUUGGACACUUUAUGUUGAUAAAAUUGUACUGUUCUUAUUAAGAUUUGUCUAGAUCUUGAAAUAGGAACAAUAAUAUUUUUUGAUGCACAUUGAACGGGACCACGUAGAUGACUCAUUUGUGAUCAUUCGAAAUGAGACUCUAUUUGAUUAUCAAACAGGUCACCUAAAUCUUGAGUGAGUAAUGUACCCUUGAUUGCUAGUUCAUGUUCUUUGAGGUACAAAUGAGUAAAGUCUUAAAUAGAAGAUUGAUCUCAGUACUUUGGGAAUCGGGUCGAAACAAUUAGAGAUCAUAUACUUAUAAUAAUGGUAUCCAUUAAUCAUUGAGAUGAGACGAUCGUCACUCUAAGGUAUUUUCCUAGGCAAAUUGAACCUGAGCUCAGUAGGUCGACGAUGAGAUUGUUGGACUUUACAUUGUGAUUUGAUCACAACGAAUUUGCAGUAUAAAAAUGGUACUUAGAGGGUAAUAAAUAUUGAAAAGCAAAAAUAGUCAUUUUGCCAGUUUUAACAUAUUGGCGGUCAAAUGAGAGUUGACUCGUGGAACGAUAAUCAGAGGAUAUUAUGAUUGGAUCAUAAUUGUUUCUAUAACUAUCACUCAACUUGAGAGUGCAAUCUCGAUUUUUUGGUAGAAUAAAUCGGGAUUAAUAGAAGUAUCUCAAUUGAUCAAGAGUUGGCCCAAUUGGAAACAUCUAUUGGAGCUUAGGUCAUGUGAGUCCGGUUAGAUCCCUCUCUUGGCUCCAAUAAAAUAUAUGUAACUUAAUUGGUCUACUACAAUAAAGUUCAAGGAAAUUUGUGCAAUUUCCAAACCCUAAUAGGGCAUUAUAAAUAUGCACUUUAUUAGCAUAUUUUAUAUGAGAAUUAGGGUUAGCCACUUUUCACUUUCUUGAAAGGAAAUACACCUAGUGAAGAACAAGGGAGAAGAUCUAAGGGAUGAAGCAAUUGGCUAUGCCAUUAAAAGCUUCUUCAAAAGGUUAUAAUCUCCCAUUUCUAUGUGUGAGGAUUUUUAUAAUCCAAUGAUCUCAAGGUUACUGAUAUCCUUUUAUUCAUAUGGUUUUAAUCUUCAAAGGAAAAUUAAUUUCCUAUUGUGAUGAUUAAAUCCAUUAACCAACAGUUUAUGGGCAAAAUUAAAAUAAUUUAUUAACAAGUAUGCUGAAAAACUGAAGUAACCCUGCUAUGUGUUAUGUUGAUCAAUUGUUUAAACAAAUAUUCCUUCUUUUUUUGGCAUAGGACAUAACAUAAUUGGAGGGUAGAUAUUGUGAAUCAACCAAAGUAUUCUAGUUCAUCGACUCUGGAAUUUGUAUGCCAAAAUGCUUUAAUGAUUUUUGGAUGAAUCACUAACAAGAUGCUAUUGUUAGUGUACUUGAACUUCGGAGACUAAGACUAGGAUUUAAGUAGUAUAUAAAGUAAAAUCUGCUUUCCUCCAUACCAAAGGAAGUUGCUUAAAACACAAUUAUAGAAUUGCGAAUGCACAUUUAGGAUUGGCUUGUCACUCCAUUCUGAUAUCAAUCAUGCUUGUGGUUACUUUUGUUGCAACAUUUUAAUUCUGUACAGAAAUUUUAUAUUUCCUUAUGGGCAUGGGGAUAGAUUCAUUCUGAGAUUGAUAUGGCCAAAAUGUUGUGUAGUCAGAAGGGAAAUUAAGCCGAUAUGUGUUAUCUCACGUGGUGUUAGUACUUUUGGCGUUUAAUACGAUCCUCACAAAUUUUCAAUCAUUUGCUUAGUUUCUGAGGUGUCUACAAUUUUUAUGUUGUGUUCGGAUGGUAAUGUGAAUAAAUUUUUAAGGGAUUUGUACGUGGACACGCAAUGAUUGAUUGAAUGCAUUUAAGGGCUAGUCGUACAUGCUUCGUGUUCAGUGAGCCUUCACGAUCUUGGAAGCUGAAUGACCUGUGCUCUUGAAUUUUCCCUUUGUUGAACUCUAUUGCCUGAAGAUAAAUUGAGACUGUGAUAUGUUGACUGUAGAAUAUGCAACAGCAACAGCAAGCCAAUAAAACACCUUGGCAGAAGCUUUGUGAAAAUGGAAUUAGAUUCUCAAUAUCAACCAAAAAGAAAUUGAUGCGACCAACCUCCAUUGAGAAGGGGGGAGGGUGGGGUUGACUUGGCUAUAGAGCCAACUUGGUUGACAAAAAUACGUUUGCAUAUACUUUUGUACAAGUUUUUAUUUGCUAGGAACUGUUGCAAUGAGAGAAGACUAUAAUGACAAAGCUUAAGGCCAUUUUGGGAGAAUCUUGGGCUAUUUUCUCUUUCUGCUAGGGUAGCCACCAUGGCCAACCCUAGGGCGCCGCCACCUACACAACUAGGUGGUAGAAGAGCGACAGCAACGGUGACCAGAGGAAGAACUUUUGUCCAUAUAGUGGUAGGGAAGCCAACUCCUCUGGCUGACAUUGAAAUCCCGUGGAAAGAGACAAAGAUCAGUGCUGAAGGUCAAGUAUGGUAUCAAUUCACACAUGAAAAGAUCCAAAAAACGGUUGAGCCUCUGAAGUAUGCGAUGGUGAUAAAAUUCUUGAGGAAACGCCCCUCUGUUGAUGACAUUCGUGGCUACAUCAAAGCACGAUGGGGACUCUCGGAGAUGCUAGUAAUCGGGGCUAUGGGAAAUCCUCGACAGGUUCUGAUUCGCAUUAAUAACGAAGCAGAUUUUGUUACGACCUGUUCAAGGGAGAUAUGUGACAUCAAUGGUGUACCGUACAGAUUGUUCAAAUGGACAUCAGAUUUCAAAGAAGAUAAGGAACCCCUUUUUGCUCUGGUAUGGAUUUUCCUUCCUAGGCUGCCCCCCAAUUUUUUCAAUCAAUCAACCUUGCAAAUAUUGGUCGGGGGAAUUGGACUUUUUUUGAAGCGUGACAAUGCCACGAUAUGUGGUUCACUGCCCAUGGGGGCUAGAGUAUGUGUGGAGAUGGGCCUAACGAAACCACGACUGGACUCUUUCUGGAUUGGUCCUCUGGGGCAUGUUUCGAGCCAUCAUCAAGAAAUUGUGUAUAAAACUUUGCCAGCCUUCUAUCAUCACUGUCAUAUCCAGUAACAUUCCGAUGCAACGUGCAGGAAACUUAAAUCAAUCAGGCUGGAAAGAUGGCGGAAGACAGAACCAAAGGUGAAGAGAAUCUGAUAAAGAGAGACCGGAUGCGCCAGAAAUAUAGACCUAUCAAACGCACGAUAGAGGAGGCGGAACCAUCAAAGAACAAAUUAUCCUUGGAUCCAAUAUCUACAGAAAAUCAAGAUACAGAGGAAACGACUGGAGUCUUGGUGGAAAGAAAUAAGGACGGACCAGAGAAACAGACGCCUCCUUCUAUUGACACAAAAGUAGAGUCCGGUUUUCUGAAAGAAGAUGGAAAUUUGCUUCAGGCUUCUACUAAACAGAUUGUUGUUGAACAUCUUGAUGGAUGUCUAGCACUGGAGAAAAACAUAGGAAAUGAUCUUCUUUUCCAGGAGUUUGGUGACCACCGAGACCUAAUCCAACAGGAACUUUUUAUUCAACACAUGCAGGAGGCGAUUGAAGUAGAAGUGAAUAUUGCAGAGGAGUCAUCACAAAAAAUAAGUGGUCUCGUGCAGCCCCCAAGGACAGUGCAUUUGACUAAAAAUCAACCUGAUAUUUCAUCUGAAUCAUUGCAACAGAAAAAUGCUCUGUCACACGUCCAAAUGGCAAAGACCAGGAGGGCGAAGAUGGAAAUAUGAGAUAGGAAAAAACAACCAUACUUCAACGUUAGAAGAAGAAAAAAGUCGUAAUGCUGUCUGAGGUACUAACACGCUCUAAAACUUCGUCUAAAUAAUAGACAAACUGUUGAUAUGGAAUGUUCGGGGUUGGGAACAUCAAGGACUCGACUUAAUGAUAUGAUGUCUAAAUUUAAUCCACGUAUUGUAGCGAUGCAGAAAAGGUUGGUGGGACACAGAAACCAGAUCUCCCAAAGCAGGAAUUUAACGAUUGUAUAUCAAAUUGUGGCCUACAAGAACUCCAGACAAAAGGUACAAUUUUUACAUGGUGCAAUUUGCAAGAAGGAAGAGGUUGUAUGUGGGAAAAAUUGGAUAGAAUUUUAAUGAAUAAUUCUUUUUUAACUCACUUUGGAAUGGCUUGUGCUAAAGUUUUGUCUAGAUACAGCUCUGAUCAUUGCCCAUUGUUAGUUCAACUUUUGGCGCAACAAGAAUGUUAUGGACCACCACCUUUUUUUUAUUUUCAGCGGAUGUGGGUAGAUCAUGCAGACUUUCUACCCCUUGUCAAAAAAAAUGAGGAAAGCCAACUAAAAGCUCAAGUUUAUUCAAACUUGGCGAAAAAUUGAAGAGGCUAAAACCAGUUUUGAGAAAGUGGAACAAAUGCUGUUUUGGGAAUAUCAAAUGUCACGUAGUGGAACUCGAAGACAAAAUUGUUAGGCUUGAAGAUCAAGUCUUAAAUUUUGGAAAUGAGCAAGACGUAAAGGAAUUAAUUGCAACAAGACUUAAAUUGAAGGACUGCACUCGGUGGGAAGAAAUUUUCAUGGCAUAGAAAACCAAAGUGAAAUGGCUAGAAGAGGGGGGACGCCAAUACCAAGUUCUUUCAUGCAACAAUUGCCAAACGUUGGAAAAUAUCUUAGUAUCACAGCAGGACAUUAUAGGAUGGAUCCACACUUGACAACCCGCAAGCAGUUCACGAUGGAGCAGUAUAAUUCUUCCAUGAGCUACUUAUGACUAAUAAUGUCAUACCGAGGAUUGAAUUCAUUGAUUGCAUCGAGCAUAUCAUUGGAAGAUAAUAUCAUAUUGUGUUAGGCUCCAUCUCGUGAGGAAUUUAAAUAUGUAAUGGAAAGCAUUCCACAGGACAGUAGCCCUGGACCUAAUGGUUUCUCAUCGAGUUUUUAUAUGAGUUGUUGGGAUAUCGUUGGAAAAGAUGCUUGGGAGGCUACGGCUGAUUUCUUUAGUGGGUCUAUGCUACCCAAUUUUUACACAUCAACUUAUAUAGUCCUUAUCUUGGUAGCUUUGGAGACUUUAGACCCAUUAGCUUGUGUUUAGUGAUCUACAAAUGCUUUGCAAAGGUAAUUGUAAACAGAUUAAAACCUCUACUUCCUAAAUUGAUCUCAAAAGAGUAAGGGACCUUCAUCAGGGGCUGAAGUAUAUUCGAUAAUAUUGCCCUGGUACAAGAAUUACUUCAGAACUUUAACAGGAAGAUACGAGGGGAAAAUGUAAUGCUUAAAGUGGACAUGACGAAGGCAUAUGAUAGGGUUGAAUGGAGUUUCUUAAUGGCAGUCGUAAAUGCUUUCGAUUUCUGAACACGAUUUUGCCAAUUAAUACAAAAUUGUAUUGAUGCACCUUCAUUCUCGGUGAUGAUGCGUGGCACUUAUCAGGGGUUUUUUAAAUCUUCAAGGGGUUUUUUAAAUCUUCACGAGGAAUCCGUCAAGGAGAUACCCUCUUUUCAUACUUAUUUAUUAUUGCUGAGGAGACUCUUACAUGUAUGCUACAACAGGCAUGUUUGGAACAAUGCAUUGGAAAUUACUCUCUUCCUUUUGGGGCACCUUGUAUCUCUCAUCUGCUAUAUGCUGAUGAUCUAAUUAUUUUUUUAUAACGGCAGUAAAGUGUCCAUUAGAGUAGUGGUGGAGAUCCUAAGCAUUUAUGAAAAUAUGUUGGGGCAGAAUGUGAAUCACAGGAAAUCAGCAAUAUUUUUCUCGAAACACAUAUCCUUGUCGAGGAAAAAUGAAUCACUUCAUUUGACUAACUUCACACAAGGAUCUUUUCGAAUCACAUAUCUGGGUGCUCCAAUAUCUCCAGGUCGUUUAUGUAUCAGACAUUUCGAGGCGCUGAUUAUGAAGGUGAGAAAGAAAAUAUCUGGCUAGAAAUCUUUACUCUUAUCAUUUGGAGGAAUAUUAACUCUUGUAAAGCAUGUUCUUUCAAGUAUGCCUUUACAUAUCUUAUCGAUCAUCUGCAUACCUCAAGGGGUUAUUAACCAAAUUCAUUCUUUGAUCUCAAAAUUUAUUUAAGGAGAGGCAGAUGGUAAAGCUAAGCGACAUUGGGUGUGUUUUGGAAAAAUAACCAAACUGGUAUCGGAAGGAGGUCUAGGCAUUCGAGACUUAGCAGAAGUAAGAGUGGCUCUAAAAACAAGAUUUGCUUGGAAAAUUUGUUUCUCUGUUUCUCUACUACAACGUUUCCUAAAAGAAAAAAUAUUUUCCUCACAACUCAUACAAUGGGAUCCAGAUAUCACCCUUAAACUCACCUUUUUGGAAUAGCAUAGCAAGUUUGAUACCUAUGGUAAUUGAAAACUCGGUGUGGCAUAUAAAAAGCGGAGAUGUUAAUUUCUGGUAAGAUAAUUGGUCUGGUCUAGGACCGCUAUCAAACCUGGUAGAGAUAGUAGGGCCUGAGUUGAGGUUAAAUGUUGCGGUGAUCUCAGGGGGUGGAAUGAAGAUGUCUUAUUAGAUCUAAUAGGGAAUGAUUUAGCUAAAGUCGCAAUAGAAUACGUUCCAAAGUUACGUGAAGGAGUGGAUAAAGAUGUUUGGAAACCAUCUCCAGAUGGCAUGUUCAGCAUUGGGAGCACUUGAGAGCUUAUUCGAGCCAAACAGGAGUAUGUAGAUUCGAAUAAAUGGGUAUGGCAUCCAAUAAUUCCAAAAAAAAUCUCUUUCAUUACUUGGAAGGCUAUACAUAGGGCGCUCGUUGUGGAUGAAAGAAUACAAAUGGUGGGGAUCUCCUUAGCAUCAAAAUGUGUAUGUUGUGCUACACCUCAUUGUGAAUCUCUCAAUCAUUUGUUGGAUGGCAGUAGCCUGGCAAAAUUUCUCUAGAAUCAAAUAUCGAUGGUGAUAGGCAUCUCGCACAUACCAUCUUUGGGUUGGAGACAAAGAAUGAAUUUUUGGUUCUCUAAGGCAUCAAAAAUGUCCCAAGUAGGCAUGAUUAUUGGCUUUCUCCCUUGUUCUAAUUUUCUAGACGAUUUGGACAUGAGGUACCGAAAAAAGAUGAAAGGUGCAACUAUUAACUAUGAUCAGAUUUAGGCUUCAGUGAAGUGGUGGAUGGGUGAACUAUGUGCCAAUGCGGCUAAGGUAUUUAGGCUAUCCUUGUCUAAUUGUAUUGCAUUACGAGUUUUGGGGAUUCAGAUCAGAAAACCACAUAAUAAAAUCUCUAAGUUUGUUCAGUGGAUACCUCCCCUCCCUUCGUUAAAUUAAACAUUGAUGGAUGUUGCAUAGGAAAUCCUAGUAAUUGUGGUGGAGGCGAAGUGAGGCGAAGUGAUCAAGGAGAAAAAUGGAAAGUUUAUCUAUUCUUUCCGCACGUUUUAUGGUCACGGUACUAACACAUGGACGGAGCUAAAAGCUGUUUUGGAAGGUAUUCACAUAUGUGUAGAACGAAAUUUCCCAAAGAUUAUAAUUGAAAGUGAUUCUCAUGUCGUUGUGAACUGGUUCCUCAAUAAACAAUGUACAUAAUGGAAAUUUUGGAAACAAUGGGAGGAGAUAAGUGAUCUUAUGAUGGGAAGGGAAGUGGUGUUUAGACAUGUUUACCUGGAAGCAAACCAAGUUGCAGACGCAUUAUCUAAAAUAGGUGGAAGUGGAAAUACGGCUAUCUUCCAUGAUAUAGUAGAUCUUCCUGAGGCAGUUACUAACUUGAUCAUAUCAAAUAGAAAUCAUUUUUCAUAUGUACGAAUUUAUUAAUAGUUUAUCUUUAAAGUCUAUUUGUGAUGUGGAGUUGUAUUCAUUGUAUUCCUCGGCCAUAUGUGAGGGCUAAUCUAUAAAAUCUGGAGCUUUAAAAAAAAAAAAAACAAAGCUUCGCAUACACCAGUUCUCCCUUAUUAAAUAGGAUGUCACGAUGAUGGCGAUCAGCCACAACUUCCAUCUUUGCCUAUGCUUGUAACAGAUGUUCCUUUAAUUCCUUCAAAAUUAUAUCUCUAUCAAUUACCUAUUGUUCAACUAUUGCUCCUCCGAUGGAUUGAGUGCCAUAGUACAGCAAUGGAGAAGCAUCUUUUCCAUAGAUUGCUUGAGUGGGAUAGUUUUUGUCGAAGCGUGAAUAGUAGUAUUUUACAAUACUCACCCACGGUAACUAGGUAUACCUGUCACUUGGUUUCUCAUAUGAAAAGCACUCAAGUAUGUUUCCACAAGCAAUUAUGACCUCUUUCUGACCAUCUGUUUGUGGAUGAUAAGUCAUGUUUCUACGAAAUUGAGUUCUUUGUAGCCUGAAGAGUUCUAUCCAAAAAUGGUUGAGAAAAUUUUUGUCAUGAUCUAGUAUGAUUGAGCUUGGAAUUCAUGAAGUUUGACUACUUUUUAAACAAAGAUGGAUAUAACUACUGAGGCUGUGAAUGGGUACUUAGGAGGCAGAAAAUGAUAAUAUUUGGUCAACCAGUCUACUAAAAUCGAAUUAGAACUUUCAAAUUUUGCCAAUCCCUCGAUGACGUCCAUGGAGAUGUCCUCCCAAGUUUGUAGUAGAAUAGGUAUUAGUUGUAGAAGCUUGGCCAGAGAUAAUGUGAGACUUUUAUUUUGUUGACAUAUAGGACAUUCGACGACAAAAGUCUUUUUGUCUGAGAUCGUGCUACUGAAGAAAAGGCUUCGUGUCACUGAAAAGAGAAACUUUAAAUCAUGCAAGUGCAAAACCAGCACCUAGCGAGCACCUGCAACCGCACGUGCUAGAUCCGCCAGGAGAAAUUUUCUUGUUGGCAACAGAUUAAUGUUUUACCUUAUAUUACUAGUAAGUCAUUUUGUUCUCAAUCAUCCUUGUAACUCAGCUAGUUAGAGGUUACAUAUUCAUAUCUGACGUUUAAGGUUCAAAUCCCUUACUAAGGGAUUUUUGUGCAUUAUUCGUAUUCUACAAGUUUUACCAAAUUUUUUAUAAAGACGAAGACAAAGGGAUUCGAACCUGUAAACUCUUGUAGAGGUAGUUGCCAACUUAAACACUGUGGUACUUCUUGGUUUGCGUCACUUAGUUUACCAAACAAUAUUUAUUAAUUUUUAACUGGUUUAAGCCAAGUACAAUUGCAAAUAUUAGAAUCCGCGCUCUUCCUUUGAAUUAUACAAAACUUGGCAACAAUGUCAUUUGAUGAGUCCAGUUUAUUCUUAUAACUAAAUUAUAUAUGUUCAAUUCGAGCAAAACAAUUGUUAUAUUUAAACUUUAGGCCUUAUUCGAUUUCCAUUUUUUUCAAAAUACAUUUUUUCUUUCUUUUUUUAAUUCACAUUCUUCAAUAAAAUAAUAUUACACGCAAAUUCAAAAAUUUUCUUUAUUUUUAGUCACACUUUCUCCUUCAAAUCACUGUUCAAAAAUAUAUUUUUUACAAAAAAAAAAUGGUACCAAAUGGACUCUUAAAAUUUUAUUGCGAUCGGCAGUAGUUGGUUAAAGGUCACCCGUUCUGACUCAAACUUCUGGAUUCGUCCCUGAUCAUCCUAUUGAAGAGAAAGCUUUGUACCACUAAAAAGUGGGCUUAGAUGAUAAUGCAUAGUAGGAAUGGGAAUUUUACAUAGGUGUGGUAUGCGCACACUAAAAAUGAUACCAUAGCACUCUUAGCAAUAAUAAUAUCCUGUUGGGGUGUUCUUAUACAGUUAGUCCCCCAUGUUGCGAGGUACAUGAGGUCGCCUUAAUAAGAUGAGGUCUUAUGAGUUAGCCUUAUCGUUAUGAGGUCUUACGAACUCAUCUCAAUAUACGUGCCAACAUAAAAUACACGGUGAACAAAGUACAGCCAACAUAAUCUCAAUAUAGUCUCCCAUGUAUAGUUAGUUUGAAUAUACGCAGUAAACAAUGUACAGCUAACAUAAUCGGCAAUUGUUCCAUCGAAUGCAACCUAGCAGAUUAUUGGUACGCAGGCCUGAAAAUCAAUUGGUGAAAGUGUUCAAAACAAGCUAAACAAAUUUCUCUAAGGCGAUUACUUUCGACAGUUAUUUCGGGCAAUUUUCUUUGUGGGAAACAUCUGAAUUUUGGCCCUAAUGGCUGGGGAUGUCAGCCACAUGAAAUUUAUAUAUAAUAUUCAGACAUGAGACGCAAGGCAUUGAGUGCAUUGUUUUGAUCCUUGUAUGGUUUUGUGAGUUUCGUUUUAUUGCAAUAAUAAAAGUGGGAAGUGUUUCUUGCAUUUUUGUGUGUUCGUUCACAUAUUCUGUCCCUUUCAUAUGGUGUUACAAUUUUUUGUUAAACAAAGAAAUUUGAGCAUCAACGAAGGUUGAUUAAUGCCAUAUCGUGAAAAUUUUACUGCAGAAAAAUUGACCCUAUAACAGUUGGAUUGAUUCGAUAUUGGAUCAAAUCGAUCAUGUUAGUUUGGGUUUGGGUUGGAUAAAAAGCUGAUCCAACUGAUCUCACACUCAGCCCCAUUAAUACAGGGUGUAAUUUGUAAAAUUUCCAAAGAAAUUUAAACCAUCUAUAUCAAAAAGUCUAUAUUUUAGGAUGUUUUCAAGAUUCAAACCAUUCCAUUUUUGAACAUUUUCUUCCAAUUAUUUUAAAAACGUCAAUUCUGAAGGAUAAUUCUGAAGAUUUUAUUUUAUCAUCAUUGUUAACUUUUUCGUAGGAUCCUUUGUUGUUUUUCAAGAAACAUGGAUUCUACUUCCAUUCAUUUGUAGUUUAUUUGGCAGAAAAUAUAGCCAAUAGACUUCCCUACCACUUGAGAGAGAGAGAGGGAGAGAGAGCAAGAGUGAGAGGGAGAAAGACAUUUUAAAUGAUCGAGCAACAUCAAAAUACAUAUAUUCACUUUGAAAGAUCUUACUAACUGCUAUGCUUCAUUCCAAGGCCCUCAGUGAAGGCCACGUCAAAGUCACAUGGAGAUGCUACAUGCGAACAAUUGAUAGUCAACAAGAUCAAAAUAAAGAAAGAGAACAAGCUACUAUUUGGGCGAAGUACUAUCUUCGUCUGAAGCCAAUUGGACCAAACUUCUUCCUCUUAUGAACGAACCACAACACAUCUGAAGCUCUCUCUCAAAGCAAAACACCUGCUGCCUUUAAAGUGGGUCUAAAGGGUAUCUUUACAAAUAAUUCAUGUAACAUUUGUAAUAAUGAAUAUCAAAAAUAUCAGCAUAGGAUGUAGAGCAACUUAUCCCUUAUCAAUCGAUUGCAGAGAGUGAUGUAAGGUUUCGAUUGCUUGGAUAAGAUCACGUGGCUCUGAUCCAAUGGUGAUCACGUUGGUCCUAGCUCUGUAAAUAGUGGCUUUUGUAACAUGUAAAUGAUUAAAAGAAAUAUAUGUAAGAUAACACAUUUGAAUUCUCAAUAAAAUAUCUUUCUUGCUCAUUCCAUAUUUAUAUACCUAAGUUCAAAUCAUUUUAGCUUUCGGGAGAUGGUUUGUGAUUGUUUAUUUACAACUGUUCUCAAUCAUAUCAUCAAUGCUCGAACAUGUUCAUCUCUUAUUAUAGAGCAUUCCCCAGUCCGUUGACCUUUCGAUUGAUUAUUCUGAUCGAAACGUCUCGAAAUUUGCUCGCACAGACACGAGUGGGCCCAAUAUCUUUUGGCCAUGCUGUCAUUGUAAAAAAUGGGGUCAAUAGAUUGACACCGUUUGUGAAAGACCGUACAUAGAACCACAAAAAUUCGAUGGAGAAAGUUGGUAGAAAGGUAUUCUUGAAGAAAUAAUUGCCUAAAGGGACCCUCACUUUGGAAACAUUUAUACCCUUUGAAAAAGGAAAUAGUGAUCAGCAUUGAACAAAAUGAAAUACUAUCAUGAGUUCUAUCAAUGUGGAAUCUAUCCCUCGAAAAACUAGGGACACACUGAAGAAAGGAAAUCCUUGCGCACUGCUCCGACAUUUCGCCAUCGAUUUCACCAAUCACAUAGUUGAGGUAGAUCAAGGAGAGGGUCUAGGAUAUAUGCUAGAGUUAUUAGGAAAGUGGCCACCUUGUCCACAAACAUGGGGAAUAUAACACAACAAAAUAUGGCCAUGCAUGAACUGCUGAAGAGCAUUGGUUCAGAGAAGAUGCCCAAUCCCUUUGUACACAGCCUAAGGAAAUACAUUCCACGACUCCUCACAAGGAAAUUACUACCACGGUGAAGAGGAGAUCCAAAGCUAAAUUGCUAGUUACCAACAGUAUGCCAUGGUAAAAGUCCCUUAGGAAAGGGGAGUUGGGAUGAAUACAUCUACUAAUUAUGCCACCGACCCAUCUAAUGAGAUCCCAUUCAACUUUCUACCAAACUAUAAUUCAGAAGAUGUACCUCAAAGGUUCAUAAGCUUCCUAGAUAGGCUAAGCCUAGGCAACUUAGAAAUUGGUACGCUCAACCUUCCUCGUACCUAGAAAUGGGCAAUAGAUACCACAUAAGUUCGAAAGGCAAAACAAAGCCUUUAGACCCUACAUCUAGAAAUAAGCAUGAGUGGAGAGCAGAAUAGGCAAGGAAUCGAGCAAAACCAUCUCAAACAUCUUGGAAAAACUAAGUCAGAAAAGAUGAGGAUUCUGAUAAACUACCAAGGUCCUGCGAUCUUGAUGAUGAUGAAAAUCUAUCAUUUUCCUAAGGAAUUAGGAAUAUCCCCGUCCUCAACCACUUCACGUUUUCCGAAAUUCCUAAGUAUGAUGGAAGAGGCGAUCCUACAAAGAAACUCAGUAGCUUCAAAACUCAUAUGAGCCUAAGAGAAGCCAUCCCUGCAAUAAAAUGUAGAUCCUUCAACUUAAUCAAGUGGAGUGGCCGAAGUGUGGAACACCAAGCUUCUGGAGGAAAGCAUCCGAAGCUAGCUGUAUUUUAAAAAGGCUUCCUCAAAUGCUUUACCACAAGUAAAGAAGGUGAAAGGGCAAUACAAUGCUUGCAAAACAUGAGACAGAGGCAAAAGGAAUCUUUGAAGAGGUUCCUGUCCCGUUUCACUGAUUGAAUGACCAACUACGUGCAAGUGACAGAUAGAGAGGCACUAACAGCCCUAAGAGAAGGGCUGGACAUGAACUCUCUUUUGAAGAGAUGUGCAAACCAAAGACCCUACCAGUUAUAAUACCUUAUUGCAAUUGAUAAGGCGUGAAAUCAUCAAUGAAGAAUUGAGAGAUCAUCGUAAUAGGGCAAAUAGAGUGUUGCCACCUCAUCAAAUGCAACAUAAAAGGAUCUUACCUCCCAUCUGAUAGAUCCCCAGAUCGGAAAAUCAACCCUCCUCAAUCUAGUACAAGCAUUGGUUGCAACAACAUUAAGUUCAGUACUAACUUUGACUUACGAGAAAGUAAAACCUCAGGUGGAAACACAUUAAGGUAUACCCUACCAAUGAUUCUCCCAAGAGGGAGAGGUAGGAGACGAGGCAUUGAACCUGGAAAUAGGAUAAAGCAACCUUCUAAUGUACUUAUCAUUAUUUUCAUAGCCAUAGCAUUGCUAGUUAUAGUGACAUUGUAAUGUACCCCAUACUAGCAACCCAUGGAAAAAUAGAUGCUCACGAAUAGAUACUUCCCCAAGCAGGGUUAACAGCCUUGCAAUCAGAAGACAAGGCAGCCUAAUAGAGAUGACACCCUACGAAGGCCAAAAGGAAAUAGGAAAAGACGGGGAAGUCGAAGACAAAGAAGGAGCUACCUAGUUGACACUAGUUGUGAGCCCAUCAGAGAAAUCGACACGAUUGUUAGAGGCCCUUACGUUGGGAGAGAGUCCAAAAAACCCCCCAACAAAAUUAUGCCUGGGAAACUAAGGAAUCCGUAAUGCAAGCCUUAUAGUCAGCAACAUCAUAUCUUCCAUUGAAAGAAAAAUUCAGCCCAUCACUUUCACCGAGAUGACAUUGUUGGAGUGCAUUAUCCGCACUAUGAAGCCUUGAUAGUAAGAGCUAUUAUGACCUGAAAAAGGGUCUUAAAAGAAUGUUAGUACACAACAGAAGAUCAGUUAACAUUAUAUUCGGUGCCACAUUAGAUAAAAUGGAAGUUGAUCACAAGUUAACUCCAAUAAAUUUUCCCUUGUAUAGGUUCACGAGUGAUAGCAUUGUCCCAAGAGAGAAAAUCAGUCUAACAAUAGAGAUAGGGAUGACGCCGUUCAUGGCUCACCACUUCAUGGAAUUUUUGGUAGUAGACAAUCGUUUUGCUUACCAUGGAGUACUUGGGAGGUCUGCUCUAAAGAAACUAUGUAUUGUCAUAUCUAUCCACCAUCUAUGCAUAAGGUUUCCAAUAGAGAACGACAUCACCAUAGUCAAAGAUGAUUAAAGAAGUGCUAGGAAGUGCUACUCUAACUCUCUCAAAAAAGCUGAACUUUGGGACAUCAAUGUCAUUCUGAUGGACAUUGAUGAAAAUGAAGACCCCAAAUAAGGGGAUGACGUCGAAAUGAUAGAUGUCUAUGAAGAAUAUACUAUUUUCAAAGUAUAGUCAACCCUUGAAGAAGGGAGAGCCACUGAAGAAGUGACUUGUCUUAAUGAACUGGAUCCCCAUAUAAUUGAUUGCGAGCCACAGACAGCUCCGAUCGAACCAUUGGAGAGCUUCAUAGUGGAUCCUUGCAGGUUAAGAAAAACUUGCCAACAAUAGCAAAGAAAAAGUUGAAGUGCUUUUGCGUGAAAAUUUAGACGUCUUUUCAUAGAAUAAUUAAGACAUAGUUGGCAUUGAUCCAAAGGCGAGUUUCCACCAUUUGAAGAUUUUUUGAAAUGCUAACCCUCAUCGGCAUAAAAGGAGGGCCCUUAAUCUAGAAAGAUAUAAAGCCACAAAAGAUAAGGUAAAGAAGUUGAUUGAUAAUUGCUUUAUUCAAGAAUUAAAUUACCUGAAGUGGUUCUCAAACCCUAUCCUAGUAAAGAAGCUCAGUGGAAAAUGGAUGGUGUGCGUGGUUUUCUUCAAUCUUAAUCAAGCUUGCCCCACAGAUAGCUUCCAACUUCCACAAAUUGACCAACUAUUUGAUUUCACUGUGGGACACAAACUGCUGAGCUUCAUGGACGCCUACUUAUGUUAUAACUAGUUGGUCAAUCCAGUGGACGAAGAGUAUACAUCUUUCAUAACUGACAGAGGUCACUAUUGCUAUAACAUAAUGCCCUUUGGGUUGAAAAAUGCAACGGCCACGUACCAACGAUUGGUCAAUAAAAUAUUUUGCAAACUUCAUCGAAAAUGCUAUGGAAGUGUAUGUGGAUGACAUGCUACUAAAAAGCUUAAGAAUAGAUGACCAAGUCCAACACUUCGGUGAAGCCUUCCAAAUACUCCGAAGAUAUACAAUGAAGCUAAAUCCUCUUAAGUGUGCUUUCGAGGUAGCCUCGGGAAAGUUUCUAGGCUACAUACUAAAUCAAAAAGGCAUUGAGGCCAACCUGAAAAAGAUCAAAGCUUGAUCGGAAUAAGGCCUCCCUAGAAACCUAAGGAAGUACAGAGCUUAAUUGGACACAUAGUAGCUUUAAGUCAUUUCGUGUCAAAUGUAACGGACAAAUGAUUUUCUUUCUUUAAAGUUUUGAAGAGAAUUGAUUUCAAUGGAAGGAAGAAUGCGAAGUAGCCUUACAAGCUAAAGAAUCACUUGGAAUAGGCUACUAUCCAAUCAAAACCCAAAGAUCAGCAACAUCUGUAGCUAUAUUUGAUAGUAAUUAUCGACGCUAUCAGUUCAAUGCUUCGUAAGGAAGAAGAGAGUCACCAAUUACCUAUGUAUUAUGUGAGUAAAGCAUUCCUUGCAGUAAAAACCUACUAUCUGAACAUGGAGAAGUUGGCUCUUUCUCUCGUAACGACCUUUCAAAAAUUAAGGCGAUACUUUCGAGCACAUACUGUACAAGUGCUAACCAAUUUCUCACUCAAGCAAGUGCUGUAGAAGCUCGAUGCUUUAGGAAUAUUACUGAAAUGGGUUUGUGGAGCUCAAUGCAUUUGAUAUAUUGUCCUAAAUUAAUAAAUGUUAUUAAAGGAUGAGCCUUAGUAGAUUUCGUGGCAGAAUUCAUCAAUGUUCCAGAAAUGGAAAAAGAGAUGGAACCUGUCGAACCUCCUACAUGGAACUUUUUGUUGAUAGUUCCUUGGAUGACACAGUUUCUGAGUGGGAGUGGUCCUAGUUAGUCCAGAAGGACAUAAGCUCACCUACGCUAUGAGGUUCUAUUUCAAGGCCACCAACAACGUAGCAAGAUAUAUAAAGCCCUUUUAGCAUACCUUAGAUUAGUCAAAGAGAUGCAAGUAAAAAAGCUAUCAUCUACAGUGAUUCCCAAUUGGUGGUUAGCCAUGUUAAUAGCAUUUUUUAGCCAAAGAUAAAAGCAUGGCCGCCUACCUUAAAUUGGUUAUGGAGUUCAUUCCAACCUUUGAAAAUUUUGAGUUGGUAGAGAUUCCACAAUCAUAAAAUUCUUACACUAAUGCUCUUUCAAAAUUAGCAACCAUUAAAGACUCUAAACUACUCACUACUAUGUCUAAAAAGCACCUUCCUAGGUUUUCUACCUCUAAAGGUGAAGAUGUGAUAUAGGUCGAAGAUAAUCCUCUAUGGAUGAAGCCGAUUAUAGCGUUCUUAAAAAACCAAGCUCUGCCCUCUUACAAAGUGGAAGCGUAGAAGCUCAAAAGAUGAGCCGCCACUUUAUUUUUCAAGACGAUCUGGUAUACGAAUGAUGCUUCUCUUCGUCCUUACUCCGGUGUAUAGGUGGAGAUAAAGCCACCUAUGUGCUCUAAGAAAUUCACGAAUGGAUAUGUGGUAACUACACGAGAAGAUAGUCUUUAGCACAAAAAGUGCUAAGGCAGGGAUAUUAUUGGCCUACUUUGAAAAAGAUGUAAAGCAGUUUGCAAAAAAAUUGCAAUAAAUGUCAACGCUUUGCAACAAUUCAGAGGCAAGCUUCUCAAGAGCUAAAUGUUGUUUCUACCCCAUGGUCAUUUUCCAAGGGAGAAGACCCCUAUUUAAAGGAAGAGGUAGUACCAACUUCUCAAUUGUCGCUAUAGAUUAUUUCACAAAAUGGAUGGAAUCCGAACUCAUGGCCAAAAUUAUUGAAGCUAAUACUUUCAAGUUUUAUGGAAAAAUAUCAUAUGUUGGUUUGAAAUUUCCAAUUCAAUUGUCUCAAAUAAUGGACGACAAUUUGACAACAAGAAGGUCAAAAAUUAUGUGAAGAAUAAGGGAUCAAGAAACAUUUCCCUUUCCCGCCUCAUCCUUAGGCAAAUAGGCAGGUGCAAACAGUCAAUGAGACCAUCAAAUGCACACACUAGAGAAAAUUAGAUGUUUCUAAGAGCUUGGUUUGACAAACUAUCUCAAGUUUUAUGGGCCAUCAAAGCUACUAGUAGAACAGUAAUAGGAGAGACUCAUUUCUCUAUUCCCUAUGGAGCGAGGCUAUGAGUCUAGUCGAAAUGGGUCUAUCGUCUUCUUGCCUCGUACAUUUUAACGAAAUAUCUAACGACGAGUUAAGAAGUUUUGAACUAGACUUCCUUAAAGAAAUGAGAAAUGGAACCCAAGGAAAAUUGGCUAUCUACCAGCGAAAUAUCACUAGAAGUGGGAACACUAGGUCCUAAUUGAUGAUCCCUAUCCUAUCAAUGAAGAGAUUCGACUAAGGGCCUACAAAAUUGAAGGUAUGGAUGAAAAGGCACAGCAUCAUCCAUGGAAUGGGAAUAUAGAUUCUUUUGCAUCUUGAUUCAAAAUACAUCCAUCGUUGUACGUAUAGAAAUUCAAAAAAGAAUUGAUUUGAUCCAGGUCGGAGCAUCUAUAAAAGUACUCCUCAACUUUGUUUUUCCCUUAUCCUUAGAUGGAGGGUGCCCAUCUCCUUCAUGACCAACAACCUCUUUGUUGAUCCUCUCCACUUUGUCCCUCACCUGUUUGGAAGCAACAGAUGGAGGUGGUGGCCAGGAUGGUAGUUAUAUUAGGGAUUGGAUGCUCCAUUUUCUCAAAAUUCUCUACAAAAGAAAAAGGAAUGUUAAAGAUUUUAACAAUAUGGCAAACUCUAUUUAGAAUCAGAUUUACCUCUUCCAGCAACAAAACAAAAUUCCUCAAUGAAUGACUUAGAGUGGAUUAAAUGGUCGAACUCCCUCGCAUGGAGGUGAUAGAAGUAGAAGUUCUCUGUGUGCCCUACUCAGCUUCUGAUAACUCAAAGCGAUCAAUCGACUUGUAAAAAUGGUAGAGGGUCAAAAUCAUGGUCAAAGUUAGUUAAAUCAAAUUAAAAAUCCAUCAAAGUAUUACACUCACUAGAUUCUGAGUACGAGGUAAAAACUGCCACUUGGGAAAUAGUAUGACCCUUAUAUACCUACCACUCCCCCUACGCAGAACCAUGUCUCCUUCUACCCUUUGAUGGAGAAGGAAAGUUUAUGUAAACCCAAUUAGCAUGGCCACUAACAAACUCACAGCUAGAUUGACACAGAUCCCAAUAAAGCCAAGAAUCGUCAAUUUUGGAUUUAAUUCACAAACGAUGAAUUAAGCAACCGUUAAUAUGUGAAAUUAACGAUCUCUUAAUUACACAAUUUUUAAAUCUCACCCGGAUUUGUUUUGAACGCCACAAGAUUAACAAAUCUUUAUAAGUUUUAUUUGUUCAUCGAAGAACAAGAAAUCAGAAGCAAAACAGCCCCUGUAUUAAUCUCUCAAAUGUCAAAAGUUCCAAUACAAUGAAAAUAAAGUCCUAUUUAUAUGAAAACCCUAGGAUCUAAUUAAAAAUUAAAAAAAUGUUCAAAUAAUCCUAAAAAUAAUAAAAGAUUAGAAUUCUACUCAAAAUAGGAAACUCACAAAAAAUUGCAACUUUGGUCCCUGAAGUAUACUAUGCGGUCGCAUAGAUCAAGGUGUAGCUGCCCUUUAAUUCGAUGUCGCCUUGUAUGCGAUCGCAUGGAUGGAACCACUAUGCGGUCGCAUAUUGGCUAGUCUUGGCUCCAAAUUUUCCCUCGUGAAUCAAGUGCCUCCUGUUUCAUUCUGGCCUUCGUCUCCAACACCAAUCUUGCUCCUUGGCAUGUCAUCUUCAACCCUGUGAACUCCAUAGCUCGGCCAUGCAAUUGUAUGACUUGUAUUACCCAUCCGAGGUUUCAAACACAGCUUUGGCUUCUUUCAAUCAAUCACCAAUUCUUGACAAUCGACGGCGCAAAUCGGAUCAUAUCAUCCCCUCCCUCUUUGAAAGGAUUCGUCCUCGAAUUCUAAACUUCAAGCUUUGCAAUGCCAUGGAAUGUUUUAUUCUUCUUCCAUUUGAUAUCUUGGAACAAGUUCGACUUUAUGUUCAGCUUUCCAUCUAAAAGAACAUCAACCCGCUCUUGUUCAAGAAUCUGACACUCCACAUUGCUAUGGUUGACUGACUCUUCUUCGAUGCUCCAUAAAUGCUCCAACUUCAAUGUAUCAACCGGAUAUUCAAAUGGCAAUACUCCUUUUAGAAAGUUCUCGUGCAAUAAAUUUUCACACUCCUGCAUCAAAGAUAAAUUCAAACUGGGGAAGGAUUUGUUAGUCAUCACUAACUCACUCUUAAGCUCACUAUUUUCUGCAAAGAAGCUUGCCUUACAUUUUUCUUCCUGCUCGAAAGACUCCUUCUUUUCUUUGAAGUGGCUCUACUCGAUUUUUCUCACACUUAGCCACUUCGCCAUUUUCUCUCGAGCUUUCUUUUUGUCUUUUCUUUCUUUUCUCUCGUUCUCAUCUCUCAUUUUUAUUUGGUCCUGAUAGAGCUGCUGUGGUGUCAAUAGUACAAGCGUGAUAGUUUUUCCAUCCUUUUCAAAACUAUACCUAUUUUAAAACCCGUCAUGCUUUACCCUACGAUCAUAUUGCCUUGGCCUACCCAAUAAAAUAUGACACUCAUGCAUUGGCACAACAUCACACUAUUUAUCCUUAUAUUACCCGAUUGAAAAAUUCACUAAUACCGGUUUAUUCACCUUUGCCUCUCCAUUAUCAUCCAACCAUUGUAGUUUAUAAAGUUUAAGGCGUUUUAUUGUUUUCAACCCUAACUUAUAAACUAACAUGUUACUAGCAAUAUUGAUGAAACAACCUUCAUCAAUAAUUAAACCACAUACCUUAUUCUCCACGAGGCAUCUUGUGUGAAUGAUGUUUUCUUGUUGCUUCUCCUCUUCAUCCACCUUGAUUUGUAUGUUGAGUGCACGCAUCAGCACAAGUGCUUCACCGUCCACGGCAUGCACCAACACUUCACCACCACUAACAUCAUCUAGCUUAGGCGUCCCAUCUUCAUCACUGUCACUCACUACUUCUCCAUUAGCACUCAAGAUCAUUGCUAUCUUAUUUGGAUAUUGAGAUGCAAUGUGCCUCUUUCCCAAGCAUUUGAGACAUUUACUGUCCCGGCUCCUAGUAGUUGGUGACUCUGCCUUUGGUAAAUACUUGCUAGCAUUUUCUUCCUUCCCCCUUGGCGCUUCAGCUUUAUUGUUUGUAGCACCCCCAUCAUUCCUCUCAUCAUCCCAUUUCAACUUCCAAGACGAAUUGGGCCCCACUGAAUUCCUAGCUGUCACAUUUUGCGUCAACUGCCUUUUCAACUUCAUGGCCACAUGCAACAUAUCCUCUAACACCACAAAGUGCUACAACUCUACCACACUAGCAAUAUCCCUGUUUAACCCAUUUAGAAAACGAGCCAUAGUGGCUUCCCGAUCCUCCUCCACAUUUGCCCUAAUCAUCAGAAUUUCCAUCUCUUUGUGGUAGUUCUCCACACUCCUAGAACCUUAAUAUAAACACUGCAACCUUUGAUGGAGUUUCCUAUAGUAAUGACUAAGUACAAAUCAUUUUCUCAUUACCGCCUUCAACUCAUCCCUUGUGUUGGUAGGCCUCUCCCGAUUCCUACGCCUCGACGUCACCGCCUGAUCCCACCAAGUGAUUGCUUAAUCAGCAAACUCAAGGACUACUAAUCUCACAUUCUUCUCCUCAGAGUAAUUGUGACACUCAAAGAUAAGCUCCACAUUUUUCUCCCAUUCCAGGUACGCCUCCGGGUGACUCCUAGCCUUGAAUUGCAAAAUGGACAUUUUGAUGUUGCCCAUACCUCCAUCCACGUUAUCUCCAUAGUUAUUUCUAUCCCGACGUUCAAACCUAUCACUUCUAGUCCUUAUUCUCCCCAAUUCAACUCCAUUAAACUCAUCCUCAUCUAGCUCACUACCAUAUCCAUAUUCAUCUUGCAUCUCUACCCUAGGCUCCCAUCUGCCGCGUCCCCAAUGAAGAUUGGUGACAUAUGUGUCAAGCCUAUCUAUCCUAUCCCGCAUAUUCUUUAACAUUAUUUCAAACUGCAUCAUCCUAUCGUCAAGCAUAUUUUUUCGACCACCAAUCCUACUUGAGUUCAAUCCUUCACUGGCACACAUCCUGAAUUCUAAAUUUUUAUUUCUACCUCACCCAUAUUUCUCUAGGGAAUCACACAAUUUUCAAAUUUUAUCCUCAAUUGAUCUCACCACUCAACCUUUUUCCACUCAUUGCUUCCAAUUAAUGUUUCAAAGAACAAUUCAAACUCAAUUUCUUGUGAAAAUUCAAUUGGAUUGUUUGUGAGACUCGUGAAUUUUAAAAUAACUCAAGGAAUUGGAUAGAAAUUUGAAAGGAAUUAUGGAAAUUCAAGAAAUUGGUUCUUCAAUUUUGACGAACUAGACAAAACAAUGUGAAAUUGGAAGGACUAUAAAGGUAAUUCAAACAAUAACAAUAAGUUUUCCCAUUUUUUUCCACAGUUUUCGAUUUUUUUUACUUCUGAAUAGUACCAUGAAUAGUAAAAAGAAAUUUUGACUCACUAAAUAGAAAAUUUGACUACAACACUAACGGAACAAAUGGAAGUGGAUUUGGAUGCCAGAUUUGUCCAAAACACAAGAUUUGAAUUUUUUUUAAAAAUUUUAUGGAUCUAAGACACAACAAACGAAGAAAAUACGCAGAAGACAAAAGGAAUUUAGGAAAAUAAAAUCAAAAGACUUAACAAGAAAAGAAAAGGAUAUAACCUUCGAUUUUGGUGCCUAAGUGCUAAUACCAACUGAUGUGAACCCGGUUAGCACACCCACUAACGAACCUAUAACUAAUUGACAUGAAUCUCGAGAAAGCUAAGAAUCGUCGAUUUUGGAUUGAAUUCAAUAUGUGAAAUUAAUGACCUCUUAAUUACAAAAUUUAUAAAUUUCAUCCAAAUUUGUUUUGAACGCCACAAAGAUCAACAAAUCUUGAUAAGUUCGAUUUGUUCUUCAAAGAACAAAAAUUGGAAGCAAAACAAUCCCUUGUAUUAAUCCCUCAAAUGUCAAAAGUUCCAAUACAAUGAAAAUAAAGUCCUAUUUAUAUGAAAACCGAAGGAUCUAAUUAAAAGGUAAAAAUACGUUCAAGUAAUCCUAAAAAUAAUAAAAGAUUAGAAUUCUACCCAAAAUAGGAAACUUUUGGAAAACUGCAACUUUGGUCCCCGAAGUAUACUAUGCAGUCGCAUAGAUCAAAGUGUAGCUGCCCUUUAACUCCUUGCCACCCUGUAUGCGACUGCAUGGAUGGAAGCACUAUGCGAUCGCAUAGUGGCCAGUCUUGGCUCCAAAUUUGGCCUCUUGAAGCAAGCAUCUCCCCUCCAUUUCGGCCUUCGUCUCCAACACCAAUCUUGCUCCUUGGCAUGUCAUCUUCAACCUCGUGAACUCCAUAGCUCAACCAUGCAAUGUGUGAAUUGUAUUGCCCAUUUGAGGUCUUGAACACAGCUUUGGAUUCUUCCAAUCAAUCACCAAGUUCUUGAUAAUCAGCGGUGCAACCCAGAUCAUAUCAGAAGUCCUACAAUGAAAUGGGAGUAUGAUCCCCAUGGACAAAGGGAAUACCAUUUCCAAGAAUCCCCUUUCCCCAAAGACCUGGGUUGGAAGAUCGUUUGGAAAAUGUCGCAUGUCGUCACCAAGGGAGGUCUCUUUUCACAAGAAGUAGGUCCCACUAACUCUGUCCAAGCAUUGGGGAGAACUAGGUAGGGUUAAUCCGUACAAUCUCAAAAUGAAGCCCUACCUUUACGAAAAUCUCGCUGAUGAUGAUGCAAUCUUGCCUGGAAAGCAAGCUCAUUCAUCAGGAGAGGGGGCUAGGAGUUCAAUAUCGUAAAGGAUGUAAUAUUUUUUUCUUAAGUUGACCAGGUUGAACGAAAUUAAAAUGGAUGGGAUUUUGGCAGCUCCCAACCACCUAAUCACCUACCCUACCCCCUUUAAGGUAAGAUACUUUGCGUGGCCCUAAUAGCUUUGGAUAACGUCGAUUGCAUUUCUUAAGGUAGCCCCUAUCGCAGAGGCCAGCUGACUUAUGUCAUAAUCCCUCCUAGGAAGUGAAGUUGCCAUUAUAUCAAUAAGCGCAAUAGUCUCGAAUACUUAUGAGUUUAGACAAAAAGAUACCUAACGGGAAUGAUCAGAAAUUGCAAAAGAAGAGUUGAAAGAGAUUGAGGAAAACAGGAAGGAUAGGGAGGAAAUUCUGGAGAAAAUCUGAAUUCUGUGAUUUACAAAGAUAAAAGUGAUUUUUGCCCUAGGUUAUUGCCAAUUAUAGGCAGAAGCACUUAAUCCCAACUGUUGGAUGUUGAUCUGAAUCAUUUAAUCGUUCAUUUGAAAUUUAAUCUGAACCAUCCAGUAUGUCUACUAUUUUGCCUUCUAUAGCCCAGAUUAGAGCUUCUACACAAUGCACUCCAAUGCGUCUAAAUAACGAAAGACACGCCCACAACAACCAUCAUUACUCAUUAAAUACAAUGACAGUUGCGUGAGAAAGAAGUUGAACCGCUGCAACCUUCUUUUUUGGGAAAGUAUAGGGGACAACAAAUCAUUUCAGCACGAUAAUUAAGGACACCUCGCACUCGUAAAAGUUGAACUGGCAUACCUCUUCAGUAUUAUUGCUACAACUCCGUUCAAAGUAACUAAGCUUACCACUUUGGCUUCAACAUAUAUAACUUUGGCAUGACUUCAAUUAUGUAGGCCUAGCUUGAGCCUCCAUUAAAUUGGAAAAAUAUAUUUUGAAAUAGUAGAUUGAUGAAAUGUGUUAUUAAAAAUAACAAUAAGUUUUGGAUUUACGCGUAAUAUUAUUUUAUUGAAUAAUGUGUAGUCAAAAAGAAAAAAGGAAAAAAUGUAUUUUGAAAAAGAUGGGCAUGAAACAAGGUCGUAAUAGCAAGCAACAUUGGUCAAAUGAACCUAGGCUCUGCUUCAACUUAAGAGCAAAAGAAAGACACCAAGUACAACUUUAGCGAAUAACCAAGAUAAGUACUUCGAACGAUUCAUCAUAAGUUAUAUUUUAAAAUUUUGAUUUUUAUAUAAAUAUCUGCAAUUGGAUUUGGGGGACUAUUAUUGUAGGUCAAAAAUAACCACCCCCACAAAAAGUUUCGUUCUAAUACAAUACAAAAGUCAAUGUAUUGAUCAUACAUAGACUUGGGGGACUAUUGUUACGCCUCAGUUUGAGGCCCUCAGUGGAGGCUACAUAAAAGUCACCUAGAGGCACUACAUGUGAUCAAUAACAAUCAACAAGAUCAAAAAUAAAGAAAGGAAACAAGCUGCUUUUUGGCUGAAGUACUAUCUUCAUCUGAAGCCUCUUGGGCUGAAGCACUUCCUUUUCUAACCGAGCCACAACACAUCCGAAACUCUAUCUCAAAUCUAAAGCACCUGCCGCCUUUAAAGUGAGUCUAAAGAGUAUCUUAGAAAUGAUUAAUAUAACAUUUGUGUUAAUGUAUGUCAGAAAUGUCAGCAUAGAAUGUAGGGUGGCUGAUCCCAUGUCAAUAUAAUUUAUGUAUUACAAAGAGUGAUGUGAGGUUCUGGUUAUUGGGAUGAGGCCACAUGGCUCUGAUCCAACGAUGACCACGUUGGCCCCAGCUAUAUAAAUGGCAGCUUUUGUAUUCUUUAAAGGAUUGAAAAACAUAUAUGUAAGAUAACACACUUGAACUCUCAGUAAAAUCUCUUUGCAGAAAGGGGGUCAACACUAACUAAUUUGAUUAACUACAAAUAAAACAUCAUAUCAGAUAGUCAUAGUCAUACACACCAAAAUUACAAAAAUUAAAGUAAGAAUUCACUUUCUAGUCCUCACCAAUUAAGUAAAAAUAUAUCAAUUCGAUAUUCAAGGAUAAGGAAAGAAUUAAAAAAAUCAUGUUCUGAAAAAACCAUUUUUCAAAAUAAUAGUUUUCUGUUUUGAGAAACCAUUUUUCAAAAUAACAAACCAAACACGUUUUCUGUAAUUUGAAAAUAGUCCCUCAAAAUAGAAAAGGUUUUCUAUUUCAAAAAUGAAAAUAGAAAACGGAAACGCAAACCAAACGCACCCUUAUAUUCUUUAAAUUUUAUGCUGUGAUCAAAGUUGUAAAUUGUAAUUAAGAGAUUUAUUUAUUGACUGUAAUCUAAUACUUAAUUACGAAGUUUACAAGAAUAAAAGUAAAAGGAAAAGAGGAUAAAUACUAAAAUAGAAAGUCUUGGAUUUUGAUUGUUGGGUCUGGGUAUUUUGUGGUGGCCGGGAUGGAUUUUACUUUGAGAUUCCUUUUUCUUAAUAAAAUUAUGGAUUGUGCUACAUGUACAUAACAAUUUACAUAAUGAUUUACCAACAAAUGAUGUGGCAGAAUUUAAUUGGAUCAAAAUAUCAUGAAUCAAAUAAUUUUCCCACUUACAUUUUGACACAUCAUCAUUAUGUAAAAUAUUAUGUAAAUUGUUAUGUACAAGAAGCAUUUUCCUAAAAUUAUUCACUAUUAUAAGGGGAAAAAUAAUAUUAUAAAUUUCAAAAUUCUGGGGCACUGCAUAAUCAUGGGCCGUAGUUGACCGUCUAGUUGGCUUCAUGGUUCUAUCGGCUCUGUUUUUGGGAGGCUUCUAGGUAAAAUAUAUACUAUUUCUUGCAAAAAUUGUUUAAGAUCAAGUUUGCAAAGAGACUCCUUUCUAUUUCUAAUAUUUAGUAAAUUGGGAUGAAUCAAGUUAUUUGUGGGUUUAAAUUUUAAAAUUCAGAUUUAUGGAUAUCUUCAUAUUAUUUGGCAAACAAUUGUGUAACACGUCAAUCUAAGGUGGAGCCACAUUGGCUAUCAACCCUAAAUAUUUCGACAAUGACCGUUGAAUUAAUACUGUAAUGUGAUCAUUUGAGAGUGUCACAUGGAAAAUAAAACUAAGGAUUUAAUGCAUAUUUGAAAAAAUGUAUUUUAGUGAUUUUACCUUGUUCCCAAUAUUCGACUUGAUCGAGGAUAAUACGUAAGAAUAAUUAGUCAAGAAUAUAAUUAUUGUUUGCAUAGUUUUAGUAAAUUUCAAUUAGAAUAAAAGUACAAUAUCAUUUUUCAGUGAAAUAGAAUGUGACUAAUAAAUUAUCUGGAUUAAUUAAGAGUUAAUUAUGUCAAAAUUAAUUUGUUGAAAUUUAGUUUAAUUGGGUCCGUUUCGUCCAUUCGAUGACUUCAAAAUAAGAAUUGCAAAAAAUGAUAAGAGAUAUAAUUUAUUAUUCAGUUAGUUUAAUUAUUAAUUAAUUAAAUCGGAAUGGGUUAUGCACGUGUCAUUAUUUUUUUUUAUUUGAAUUAGAAUUAAAAGGAAAGUCCAUUUAGAUUAGUAUCCUUCUCCAAAUAAAUAAAUAACAAAAAAAGAGUUGUUUAGAAAUUAGGAUAUUUCGUUAAUCCAAAAUCAAUUCCAUUCCAUAUUAUAAAUAAUCAAAAGAAAAGAGUUCUUUUGGGAGUAGGAUAUUUCCUUAUUCGAAAAUUAUAAAAGUUAUAAUUUAUUAUUAACGGUAGAAUGAUUAAGGUCCUGUUUGGUACACAUUAAUAUAAAAAUAAGAAUAAAAAAUAUAGUCGUUACAGGCCUCACAGAAGAGAUAGAAAGUCAGAUAUGGUGGCUUAAUGUGAUGGAUAGCAAUCAUAUUUUUCAUUUUAAUGAGCAAAUAAUGAGAAACAAACGGGGGCUAAAUCAGAAUGUUUGUCCUUAAUUUUUUUUUUUUUUUAAUUAGAAUUAAAAGGAAAGUCCUUUUAGAUUAGUAUCUCCUUUUAGAUUAGUAUCAUUCUCCAAAUGAAUAAAUGAAAUAAAAAGAGUCGUUUCGGAAUUAGGAUGAUUGAAUUUCUGGAAAAUAAUCGAAGAAAAGAGUUCUUGUGCGAGUAGGAAGUUUCCUUAUCCAAAAUCAAUAAUCAAUUCUAAUUUUUUUAAUACAACACAAAACCUCUAAUCAAAUUAUUUUUUCUCCCCAAGUUUAUGCAUCUGUCAACUUUUCUCAAAAUUUCUCUCUAGUUUCAGCUUUCAAAUGUGUACGGAACGAAAGAUUUGAGAAGUAUUGUCCACCCCAUCAACAUCAACAUCAAAGAUUCAGCAAAAAAUAUUUUCUACCAUUACAGAAAAACACGAUCAACAUCAGGUGGUGAUUUCGAUCUUGUCCUCGUUAAUUUCCUCAAGAAUGACCAAACGUUCAGAUAUAUAACGCUUUGGGACAUUGUGUUUCUUGUGCAUCUGAGCAACGAUAUUGUCCUGUCUAUAUUUCUACUAGAAUGGGAGAAAGAAAAGUGCUAAACAAGUAUUAUCCACCGGACUUCGAUCCGGCAAAGAUUCCACGGCGGCAGCAGCCAAAGAAUAAACAAUUCACUAUCCGCAAUAUGCUUCCCAUGAGCAUUCGUUGUACAACUUGUGGGAACUACAUGUAUAAGGGUACAAAGUUUAAUAUGCGCAAAGAAGAAGCUAUCAGGGAGACUUAUUUGGGAAUUCGAAUUUUUAGGUUCUAUACCAAAUGCAACAAAUGCUCAGCGGAAAUAACAUUCAAGACUGAUCCACAGAAUUCGGAUUAUGCUCUUGAAUGCGGUGCCACGAGAAAUUUCGAGCCUUGGCGUGCAGAGGAUGAAGAGAAAAGGAAAAGGAAUAUAGAUGAUAUGGGAGAUGCGAUGAAAUCAUUGGAGAAUAGGUGUUUGGACUCGAAGAGGGAACUGGAUAUCCUGGUUGCUUUGGAUGAUAUCAUGUGUAUAAAUUCGAGACACGAAAGGGUGAGUGUAGAUUCAACGCUCGAAGCUUUGCAACAGAAAAAUGAGGCGAAUGAAAGGGAAUUGGAAGAAGAGGAUGAGGCUCUUAUAGAAUCCGUGUUUAAGGGGGCACGACAGCAUAUUUUACGAAGGAUUGAUGAUGAAGAAGAUUUAACUGUGUUUUCACCUGAGAAGAGAAGAAAGCUAUCUACCGACCUUCCAAACCCAGCAGAUUCUUUACCGAAAGGCAGUGUUCGUGACAGCUUCAAGAGUCGAAAUAAUGGUAAAUUCAUUCUGAAAUCUUCAUCGGUCACAGUUUCUAUUCUUAAGAAACCACUUCCCGAUUCCAAUAGUAACAAGGCAGGAAAGAAGGAGCCGAAGAAUCAGGAGGCAGGAUCCAUUGCAAGUAGUGGGUUACAAUCAUUAUGCCAGCAAUAUGGAAGUAAUGAAGACGAUUGAUGGCAAAGAACCAUCCCACUUGUUUCAGAUGGGCAGCGUAAUUGUAUUUGUUGUAUUUAGUUUGGUGUGAAGCAAGUUUGAUAUUUAGAUCUUGAGUUCUUGACUGAUACUUACAGUAUAUUGCAUUUAUCAUCCAAUUUUUCAUGUACCAGUUGAUUCUUGCUCUUUUUUCAAAUACAAUUUUGUGUUUCUUGAAGUUAAGUAAGUUACUUUCAUCUACCUUGUGUUAGUAAAAAGGGAAGAUGGAACAGGGAAAAAACAAAGCAUUGAUCCUUCCCAUGGUUGUGGUUCUUCUAUUGGGAAGGAGGAUGUUGCAUUCUACCCAUCUUCACCCUUUUAGUUUGUUUAACUGGUGAUUGCUAAUCAGUACGCUCUCAUUGAGUGUGAAUUUAUAGUUAUUGACCAGUAAUACUGCAGUUUUUUCUGCCUGAUAAUGUAAACUGCAUCUUUUCCACCGGAUAUUAAUAUGCGUAAAAGAAAGAUUGUCAUUCAUCAUUAAUUGUGUUUACUGUUAAGUUUUAUAUGCUGUUUGUAUCGUCAUUGUUCAUAUAUAUCCAUGUGAAACUCUAUAUGUGAAGGCUUUUGAUUUAUCCAACAAUUGAGUAGCUUAUAUGUGUUAUAUAAUUAGCAGCAGGAGGAAUGUGUUCUUAAGCUAAUGUCAGGUAUUGUGGCUAGUUUUUGAUUAUAUCACACAGCUUGAUGCUAAUUUUAAUGGGUGAUGUGGAUUUAUUGUUUAAAUUUCAGGUGCUGUGCUGCAUGCAUUGACUACUGGGCUACCAUCACAAGCCUAUGCCCACUUUGGCAGAAUGCGUUUCAAUUGAUAACAUGUAUACCUGUGAGUAUGAAAAGUUGUUUGAAUUUUUGGACCUUCUCCUUCAUCAUUUUGAUGUCCUUCCUUGUGUGUUCAUUCUUAUUGACCUAUGCACGUGAUGAUUCUUAAAGUGAUUGUUAAAAACUUAACAAUUUGAUCUUUGAAAUUCUACACUAAUAUCUUAACCAGGAAAUGGUUACUCGUGCGUCUUAUGAUUAAUGAAGGUAUAAGAGAGUUAAUGCUUUGGUUUGAGGAUGUGGGAAGGAGGAAAUUCUCUCCCUCUGACUCCGUGCAGCCCCUUUGAUUCAAAAAUUAGGAGGAAAAGAGAGCACAAUAAGCAACGUUAGUUGGUCAUUACCGAGGAUAUACUCAUAACCACCUAAAUUUUGGAGGUCAAAGGAUAAAACGAUCAAAGUUUAUUCACCAGUAGAUUUUAGUGAUAGAUGGAUUGUUUUUUGAACCUUGUCCCAUACAUUACUCUGACUAGAAUAAAGUAAGUAACAAGAUAACGAAGAAACCAAGAAAAUAAAAUAGAGCAGCAGAGCACUGAAAGACCCAAGAAAUGGCUUCUGAUGAACCACAUGGUAAAUAGUCUCAUCAAGAUUGUUACCCUCUACAUCUCAAGUCACAUUUUAUGGUUAUUGAUUGACUUCAUGCAUAGCUGCAUCAUUGCCUGCGAAAUAUGAACAGAGUACCAUGUAGCACUGGUUUUCUUGAAAGACAAAACCUCUCUGAAUAGACAAAAUUCAAAUGAGUAAAACAGACUUAUGAGGCAAUUUUACAUGGAAAGACCAUCUUUCAAUCAAAAAUUCAAUUUGACUCAAAUAUGUUCUUUACUCAUUUGGAUGCAAAGGUAAUGCAUCUUGUGAACAAAUUACACCAUUUUGAGACCGAUCAUUUUAGUUUAUAAAUUACCAAUCGAUGUAGAGAGAGAACAAAUUUUGCUUAAAAGCGAGGUACAGAAUUACAUUAAAAGGGGAGGCUAUUGGAUAAAUAUUUAAAUUUUUCUCUAAAACCAAUUGUACUUCUCUCUUGUUGUUUGUAAAUUUGUAUCUUGAUUUGGUCAAUAAAACGUGGCAGAUAUAAGGGUGUCAAACAAUAUUCCAGUUCUUGUAAAGGCAGCCAAUGAAUGGACUGUAGAGGGGGUAGUGAUUAAGCUACACUCCAUCAUCUGCUACCAGAUAUAAGGCUAGGACUACACUACCAUGUUGUAGUUGAUUCAUGACUUCCAGUUUAUGCUGGUUCUAUCUCUCUGUUUUCUUUGGAUAAAAAACAUCAGCAGAUUCAUCAGAAACUAAAUGUUUGUCAUUUAAGGGUUUUAUAUUUAAACCCAAAAAUUCUUUGUUCUCAGACUACAAGUUUAUGUUUCUUAUAACUAGUCUUGAGAUAUUUCUGCUCAAAUCAUUUCAUCUAUUUUCUUGCAAAAUCUAGUUUGCAAAAUCAUUUAUGCUGGUUCUAUCUCUGUUUUCUUUGGAUAAAAAACAUCAGCAGAUUCAUCAGAAACUAAAUGUUUGUCAUUUAAGGGUUUUAUAUUUAAACCCAAAAAUUCUUUGUUCUCAGACUACAAGUUUAUGUUUCCUAUAACUAGUCUUGAGACAUUUCUGCUCAAAUCAUUUCAUCUGUUUGCUUGCAAAAUCUAGUUUGCAGUCUAUCCCAGAUAUUUACAAUCAUUCUGCAUAACAAUGAACUGCAGGUGUUUUUUUGCGCAUUUUUAUUUAGAUAAAGGAAAUUACAUGUCCUUUAAUAUAAAUCUUUUUGUUAAAUUCACAUCAGUAUCACCAGAGCAGCACUUAGUUCGCACGAAUCAAAAAUAGUGACUUCCUUGUUGUUUAUCUUUUCUGAACUCACCUAUUUGUUUUCACUAGUUAUAGAAUACUAAAGCUAUAACUUUGUUAGUCAUAAUUGUUUGAAAAAUAGAAUAUAAUUAGUAAUAUUUUAAUCAACUUUAAUAUUGGAAGUAUUCCAGGAGCUUUUAUUGAUAUAUUUUAAUUGAAAAAUUGCCACAUGUUUUUUAAUUUUUUUAAAUAAAAAAUUAGUCAAUUAUGCCUUGAAAACUAUAAUUGAAAAGCUAUGUAACUGAUACAGAUGCUGCUUCAGAAGCUGAAUGAGCAGCAAGAUACUAAAGGAUAUAAUCUUCCCAGAAUAAAGUUUUUCCCUUGGAAUUGGAGAAAAAAUUUAGCCAAUUUCAGUUCUUUCUGUCUACAAUGAAGUUCCUACGACUUCAAGUUCCUGUUCAUUAUAACUCUCCUUUAACAUACAUCAAAAACUACAUAAUUGUACAUUAUAUCUAGUUUGAGCAAAUUUAUGUUCAAUACAUCUGGGUAAUGAGACAUUUCUGCUCAAUUUAUUUUGGUCUGCUACCUUUCUUCAUUAAAACUAGUUUGCAGUCUAUUCAAUAUAUUUACAAUCAUCCCAGAUAUCAAUGAAAUGCAGGUGCAAUUUUUGUGCAUGUAAAAUUAUGCGGAAUAAUAUUGCCCAUAACAGGCUCUACACAAAAAAAAAAUUGGAGCUACUUCAUAUAUUAAAUUGUUUAUGUUCAUAAGCAAUAACAACAUAUAUUUGUAAGGACGAAUAUUUUGUUGAAUAAAAGAAAAUGCUAGUUAAUGAUGUCGAUUAUGAUAAAAAUGUUAUAUACCCUUUAGCAUAAACAUGUUGUGUUAAUUUUUUUUAUUUUCCAUGAACCAGUCUUUCGUGAGCACUCUCUAACCUUUAUUGUUUUGCUAGAAAGGUCGGUGAAAUUUCUAGAGCAUGUUUGGUAGAGAUUUUAAUCUAAUUAAAAUCAAUUUUUCGACCGUUAUUUCACUAUUUCAGCUGUCAUUUUUGAAUUCUUCUCUCACAGGUAGGACUCACUUUACCUCUAACAGUCAAAAAAUCAAUUAACAAAAUCCUUACCAAACAAGCGCCUAAAAUGAAAAGUGGAAAUCAUUUGUGAAUCUGACCAGAAAAGAAUCCAAGUUGAAGAUGAAAGAAUUGGAGAAACCAGAUUACCAAAUGAACAUUAAAAGAAGAUUGAUUAUGAAAGAAGCUUUAAGCAGGAGAAUCAACAGACUCUCCUUAUCUGUUAUGAAAUCCAAGAAAGAUGAAGGAAAUAGCAAAACCAAGAGCAAUGGACAAUAUAAAAGUGAUGAUCAAAUGAUUUGAUGAUCAUGUAUUUGUCAAAUAAUGUUUGAAAUAUGCAUGUCGGCUAUUUUGGGUUUCCCCUUUGUUUAUUUAUUUAUUUUCCAUUUUUGGUGUGGUACUAUAAUAAAACUUUGCCCUUG